GAAUCAAUAAAAGGGUGGUGGAGGAGGAGAUGCAUACGAGACUCCGAUGACGGGUGGCAAAGGCCCUUCAUAUACAGGUGCAGGUGGUGGAGAUGACGGUGGUGGCGGUGAAUUGUAAUGAUAAACAGGUGUUGGAGGUGGCGGUGAUGGUGGUGGUGGUGAAUUAUAUUGAAUUGGGGGAGGUGGUGGUGAUGGUGAUGGUGGCGGAUGGUAAGGUGCAGAGUGUGGUGAUGGUGGUGGUGGUGAAUGCUCUUCACAAGGUGGUGGAGGUGGUGGCGGAGGAGGUGACUCUAUACAAGGUGGUGGAGAUGGGGGUGGCGGUGGUGGUGAAUAAACUGGUGGGGGAGGAGAGUGAACUGGAGGAGGUGGUGGCGGUGAUAAAUAGGGAUAAACUGGUGGUGGUGGUGGUGGUGAAUGUGGUGGUGGCGGUGGCGAAUGAGGUGGAGGUGGCGGUGGAGAGGCGGCGAAUACACUGGUGGUGGAGGUGGUGGCGAAUACACCGGCGGUGGGGGUGGUGGAGGGGAAUGAGGAAUGUAAACAGGCGACGGCGGAGGCGGCGAUGGCAAUGGUGGUGAGGGAGGAGGAGGAGGAGGCAAUGAAGGCACAAAAGGCUUACACCUAAACGAAUUACAAUCGACAGGGUGCGACAAAAACGACUUACAUUGCCCAGCGGAGCGCUGGGCAGGCCUGGCCGGAAGGCAGUUGCGGCGGUCAUCAAACGCCGGCAAAGCGAGACAUCUUGGCGGCUCGCCAGUGAAGAAGUUAUAAGAGUAAGUAAAGUUCUGCAGAUUCGGAAGCUUACAAAUGCUCUCUGGAAUCUUCCCCGAAAGUAAGUUAUGCGCCACAUUCAACUGCUCCAAACUCACCGCACCACCAAUAGCAUCAGGCAAAGGCCCCAGCAACUGGUUGAAGCUCACAUCGAACACCGUCAAGUUCUGCAGCAACCCUAUCUCCGCAGGGAAGCACGACUUGAACGCGUUGUUCAUCAAAAUAAUCUCGUUCAGCCCCUUCAUCUUGCCGAUUCCCGCCGGCACGCAUCCGUGGAAGCGGUUGUUCGCCAGCACAAUCACCGACACCGGCGAGUUUCCGAAAUUUUCCGGUAAGUCGAAGACGAAGCGGUUGUCAUUGAUGAAAAUCGCGUCCAGGUCCUUGUCGAAGAGCUCCUUGGGAACCGUACCUUCGAAUUCGUUGAAUCUCAGAUCUAGAAACUUGAGCAGCGGCAAGCGCAGCACCACGUCGGGGAACUUCCCGGCGAAGCGGUUGUUGCUGAGAUCUAACUCGAAGAGGAGUUCAGCCGGUCGAACUUGUGCGGCAAAGUGCCGCAGAAGCGGUUAGUGUUGAUGUGGAGAAGAGCGAGGUCAGUGAGUAAACUUAGCUCCUCCGGGAGGUAUCCGGCAAUGUCGCCGUGGUUGAGGUCGAUUCCGGCGACGGUGCGGAUCUUAUGGUUGUCCGGCGCCGGAGCGCAGAAAACGUAGGAGUAGUUGCAGACAUUGGGUCCCACCCAGUCCUGCGUGAGGUUCUUGGGAUCGGAGAGAAUGGCUUCCUUCCACGCCUGUAACGCUAUAUAAGCGUUUCUCAAACGGUCGUUUUCGAAGACGAAGGAGGGAUCGAGGGUUACCUUUUCACCUCUGUCACCGAAGUAGUCCUUGUAAUACAGAAGCUGACGCUGCUUGAUGAAAGACACUUGGGAGUCUGUGAGAGGUCCAUUGUGCGAGAAUGCGGAGGCACAGAGAGAGUGUGAAACUAGAAUGAGCAAGAGAGGAAGAAAAAAGAGAGACAAGUCGGAGUAGGUUUUCUUCCUCAUCUCACAUGAGGCAUCUGAGGAAACCAAACGCCUCAACACACAAAGACUUUAAAAGUGUGCUUUAAGAGAAAGUUGAUUUCCUUGGACGUUGCUAUAGAUCUGAGAAGAAUGGCUGCAAUGUGCAAUGUGCAAUGUGCAAUGUGCAAUGUGAGAGAGAGAGAGGGAUUUUGGAAGUGUGUGUGAGGCGUGAAGGAGCGUAUAUGAGUGUGAGAAGAGAGAGAGAGUGGGGAUGAAAUAAUGCAUCAAAAGGACAGCUAAAUCACAGCUCAAAGCCCACCAGAUUCUCUAUCUCUUGGUUACUCGCUUUCUUUUUUAAAUUUACUUUUUUUCUGGCUUCGUUACUCGAGACAAAAAAGGAACACUAUUUAGACUAUUACUAGUAUUUUCUUCUCGCUCCUUGCAAGACGCUAGCUAAUUGUUUUUUAAACUUAGUUGGCACUCACUCCUUCACGCUUUGAAUAAAGUCAAGUUGUUUACGCGGAGAGAUGGAUAUGAGCUGAGUAUGAGAGAGAGACUCGACAUUUCCCACCAAACAUACACUUAAAUCCAUAAUUAGUUCAGUUUCUUUAAGGAAAAAGAUUAAAGUGCAAAAAUAACUAAUCAAAAUAUUAGUGAUACAUACUUUCUGGAUAUUCUUUUUUUUUUAAUUUAUUAAAUUCAUUAAAAAAAUAAAUUAAAUAUGUGAUUUACACUUUAUAUUUAAUGAAUAUUUAUACUUUUUAAUAGAAUUAGUCAAAAAUGAUGAAAAUAAUACAUUAUUACAUAAUUUAAAGACUAUUAAUUUUACUUAAUAAUAAAAUAAGUAAAAAAUGAUAAAAAAUAAAUAAAUAAAUAUUACAUAACCCAAUACUAAUAUAAUCUCAAUCAAUUUUCUACCAAACAUAUAAUUUAGUACCAGAAAAAAAAAUCAUACACUAAUGUAGAAUUUUUUACUUAAAUAUUCAAUCACAAAUUAUUAUUAUGUAACUUUUAAAAUAAUUUAAAAUAUGAUUUAUAAUUAGAUGAUAUAGUAAAUUAUUUUAUGUUUAGCGUCAAUAUUAUUAAUUAUUCUAAAAAUUGAAAAUUAAUAAUUUGUAACAUAAAAGUUAACUGAAAUGAUAAAGAUAUUGUUUAGAACACUAAUGUGGUUUUCCUAAUGAUUGUUUCCGUUAUUAUUAUAAGGAGUAGUUGUAUCCUUCAAGUUAUGACGCGCCUCACUAUUUGACAGAAGAUUUCCGUUGAAAAAUAAAAUUAGAAGCCGUUAGCACUUAGCAGAUGAUAGUGGAAUUUGGAAGCGGCACAAAUUAAUUUAAUUGUCGAAUUUUUGCUGAUUGAUAACCUGGGAAGUGGUUGUCUGUGUCGGUGACCCUUGUCAAAUCAAAGACCUCUAGGCUCUUACAGUAAUUUUAUUUGUAAUAAUAAAAAAUUUAAUAAUAUGGUACUUUGUUCGUAAUUUAGUAUAAAGUCAAUUCUUUGGCAAUAUAAUUUAUAUAAACUUUACUUAUUGAUAGAAAUAGUAUAUAUAAUAAAAAUACGUAUAACUAGGGUUGUUCAUUAAAAAAUGUAUAAAAUUAUGUCACGCACUCGCGCCUCUUGGACUUUUUUUCCAUAUCGCACAUUCCCGUGAUGGCGAUAACUUAUGGACGGCCUUUUUUGCCUUUCUAAUUUAUGGCCUUUUCUGGUUAACAGAAUCCACCGAUAUUUAUUUAUUUUUUAUUUUCUUUCAGGAUAAUAAUUAGAAAUAGUUAAUCUUCCAUGCUAUGAUUCCGAAGGUGUAUCUUAAUAUCAUACUCUCUGCAAAAAUUUACUGUUUUUAUCCCAUUAAGCUUGUGGUUUUUUCUUUCAUUUUGUUGUGUAAUUUAUUUUAAUUUUUUGUGAAAUUUAGGUAUAGAAUUUAAUAUUAGAAAAUAAAUUUUAUAAUAAUUACAAAGAUGUUUUUUAAUUAUAGGAAUUAAAACAAAUAUCACACAUUUUAUUCCAUCAAUUAAGUUAAACUUCCUUAAUAUACUAAUUAUAAAAAAAUACAUAUUUAUAAUAAUUUUAAAUUAUUUGAUAGUAUAAAUUUUCUUACACUUAUAUAAUUUAUUUUCAUACAGUAUAUCUUUUGUUUAUGUUUUUGAGUGUCUUGGUAACAUCUUGUUGCCUUGACACUUCUCUCUUAAUGGAAUUCAUUUUGACUUUUAAAAAAAAUAAUUUAUUUUCAAUCCAUUUGUUUUGAAUACUUGGAUAUUUAUUUAUUUUUUCCAUAAAUAUUGACGGACUAAGUUGUAAAGUAUUUUUCAACUUUAAUUAUAUUUGUUUAAAAAUGUAUAUUGCAAAAUUAACAAUUAAUAGACAUUUUACAAUAUUUUACCCGUUAGAGUAUUAUGAGCUUAUAGCAAUAUUACAUAUUUAUUUUGUUUCAUAAGAAUACUGAACCUUACGAUAACUUUCAUUACAUGAUUCCUUAAAAAAACCUUCAUUACAUAAUGGCUUAUAACAACUUGGUCACAUAAAAGAUUUUAACUGCUUACGCCAGACUCCGGAGAUUCAAAUGAUCAAUUUUUUUUUAUUCACUCAAAAUGAUCAAUAUGUGACUGUGAGCAUGUGAUCUGUUAUGAAACAUAAUUUGUAAGGGUAAUAUCCAUGUAUGAUUUGUGAUUUCCUAACAUUAACAAUGCUAUUUACUGGUAAAGAUUAUUUUAACGAGGUAACCUAAAAGACGAAAAUAUUCUAACUGUAUAUUUUAUAUGAUUUAAUUUAUAUAUACACCUUAUUUUCUUUAAAAAAAAAUAUUAUUCAUUCACUUUGUCCAAUUAUCCUCUUGUGUAGACUAUUAUUAUUAGCUCAUUUUUUACCCCAAACAAAAGAAGUAAAUGAGUAAAGAGAAAAUAACUAUUUCAAGGGAAAAAAAUGUUUAUAGACACAAAAAACACACACACACAUUUGUAUAUCUUUAACUAAACCAGUUUUCAUACCUAUUAAAAUUUUCCUUAAAAAUCCUAUAAAAAAAAUCCUUAAAAAUGAAAACAAAAAAUAUUCCUCACUAUCUUAUCCUUCUAAUUUAUGUCUUGUUUUAUUGCAACAAAACACGAAAACAAUACAAUGCAAUGUAUCUUUCAUUCUCUUGUAAAGAAUACAUCGUUUUAAUACAAAUAAUCAUCACAUAUUCAAGUGUUUGUAACUCGAAAACGCGUUUUGAUCAUAAAAAGUUAGCAACAACUGGUGGAAAUUACUUAAUCGAAACGGCAAUGUUUAUUUGAUAUAAUUUUUAGACAUAUUUCUGAUAUCUAGAAAUUCAUUACAUCUAUCUAAACGGUACUACCUAAUUGACCUGUUUUGUUUUUUUGUGUAUAAUCUUUGUCUCCAUGCAUUUUCAACUAUAAUUGUGUUUACGAGUUGGAUUGGUGUUUUUUUUUUAAGAGAAGAGUUGGAUUGGUUGGAAUUUAAGAUAAAAUAAAAUUUAAAUAGAUCAAACUUAGUUAAAUUAGUUUAAUUUAAAUUAAGUAUAACUCAAUUAAUAAUAUAUGUUAAGUUUGUAGGAAAUAACAUGAAUUUGAUCUCAUAUAAUAUGUAUUAUUGGGAGGGAGCAUAAAUUUUAAAUAUGACUAAAUCUCAAUUGAAGAUUAGUUUCCUAGUUAUUGGAUCAAUUUUUUUUUAGAUAACUUGAAGUAAUACUAAAGAUAACAAAAUGGAUGAUCUGAUCCACCCGAUUACACAUUAAAAAUGGAUCAAUUCAAGCCCGACCCAUAUUCUUUCUGGUUGAAAAUUUUUAGACCCAACUUAUUUGUAUGUUAGGCUGAUGGAUCACUGGGCCUAUUCGGACCAAUUUACAAAUUAAUAUAAAAAAAUAAAAAAAAAUUGAUUUUAUGUAAAAAAAACCAAAGACCAAAAAUUAUUUAUUACACAUUUAUUUUGCCUAACAGUAUUGAUAAAACCAUUUAAAUUACAUUUAAGGAAUACUCAUAUUAAUAAUAUUACAUUUGGAUUGUUACUUCUAGUGGAUACUUAAUUUUAUGUUAAAUGAAUAUGUCUUGUCUUUAAAAAAAUUAUAAAUUGUAAUUUAAAAUUAUAAAUUACAUUAAGAAAUAAUUAUAUUUUAUUUAAUAUUUAUUAUAUAUUACUAAUCGAGUCAACUUGACCCGAGUUCACUUGACCCGUCAGGUUAAAAGGAUCACACCAAGAAAGAUUUGUUUAUAUUUAAACUAAUAUUUCUUUUAGCUCAAUUUAACUCUAAUUACUUGUUGACUCAUCAUGCCAAGUCCAUUUAACUAAUCCUAGACACCACUAGGAAACCUGAAACUUAAUUAUCAUGAUAUCAAAUAAAAAAAGGUUAAAUUAAUUUUUUAUCAUCUAAUUUAUUAUUUAGGUUUAAUUUGAUUUAUUAAAUUUUUUGAGUAUCAAUUUGGUCUUCUAAUUUUUAAAAAUAAUUUAAUUUGAUUUUAUCGUCUAAAUUAAAUUGAAGGGAUUAAGAAAUUAUAAUUUAUGACAGUUUAAAAUUGUCACUAAGUAAUUUUACCGGAUCAAAUUAAAUCUAAAAAAUAAAUUUAAGAAAAAAACCUUAAUUUAACAACAAAAAAAAAAAGGAUACAAUACAUAUUUAUUCACUUUAUCAUGAACGAACAUUCCAUGCAUCGUGGCCUCACCAAGGCAGGCGGCCAUGCAUUAACAAACUCACUGAGAUCACCAUUUUUGUACUCUUCCUCUCUCAUGCGCAUCAGUACUAGAAAUUUCAUCUUUUCACCUUGCCAUUAUUAGCACAUAUGUAACAUCGAUCACUACCGCAUGCAGUGUGUAGGUUGUCCCUUUUUUCCCUGUGUUGUUCAUGUAACUUUGCAGUAGUUUCACUUUCACAUGAAGAAUUAAUAGAGUGAAACUGUUGAAUCAUCAGUUUUCACUAGUUUAGCACCGGUUUGACUAGUUUUAGUCUAGUUCCUUAGAAAGACAGAUUGUGAAAACUUUGAUGCAAAUUGUAUCUAUAGAUUGCCUAAACUUAAUUGAAGGAAUUACGCGCCAGGAACAAGAGAAAUUAAACAGCACUUAAGUUCCAAUCAUACCAAUACAAGUUUAAUAUUUAAUCCAAUCAAAAUUGGCAAAUAGAUUCAAAAUAUCCCAACCGACCAUUAAGUCAUUUUUUUUAAUGACGGAACUAAAAAUAAGAGCCGCGAGGGAAUCCAACAGAAUAAAACUCAGUUUGAAUGAAUCUCUUCGAAAAGAUUUUGAAUUUGAAUCUUCUAAAUAGAAAUAAAUAAUUAUAAAAAGAAAUCAUAUUAAAAUUGAUCAACUAAAUUUCAUUAUAAAAAUUAAUAAAUAUUUUAUACCAAUAAUAUAAUUAUAAAAAUAUCCUAACCGGGUCCAUAUAUCUAUGAAAUAGGCCACCAUAACUAUGUCAAAUGUCCAAAGUACCAAAGCUUAGGGGUAACGGCAGUUAGACUCUCAUAUCACAAUAUUGUUAUUAAGUAGUUUCUUCUUCUUCUUCUUCUUUUAUGUGUUUGAAGAAGAAGGAGGCUUGAGAGUUCUAUUUCUGAGUUUAGCUUGCAACCACAGACAUUCCCAUGUUACGCAUCCGUAUUAGCAUUGAUGCGGCUGAGGAAGUGGAUCCCGCAAAACACGAGAGAUAGAGAAAGCUCACAUCCUAAUUGGGCCCCACGUGUCACGUCUUUCCCGCCUGGAUCGUCGGCGAUCGUCGCAUCUUUCCCUUCCUCAAAAUUUCACCAUUUUCAAAAUAUUCAAUAACUCUUGAUGCCAUUUUUCAUAUUAAAGUUUAAGGCUAGUUUUUCCCCUUAUAAUUUUCUUCUUUUUGAUCUAUUCAAAUUAUUGUGCGUUUAAUAGAUGAAUGGUAAAAAAAUUAUAACUAGGUAUAUUUUUUAUUAAUAAAUAAAUAAUAUUUAUAGACUAUAUAAAAAAUUAUAUUCUAUCCUUUAAUUACAAGUAACCAUGUAUAAUACAUUUAUUUAUUUUUAAAGUAAUUAUUUUGAGAAAUAUUAGUUAAACUCUCAAAAAAUUAUGUCAUGUGUAAAAUAUCUAUUUUCAGCAAAAUAUCAGUUUUUUAUUUUUUAUUUAUUUUAUUUGAAUUCUUUCACUUGUAUUUUGUAAAAUUAAUUAAAUAAAUCUGCCUAGUCACACAUACCAAAAACAAAAAGAGCACUUAAACUGAAUUUGAUGUUAUGUCAUUCCAAAUAACGACAAUAUUUUAAGUUGUGUAUUAAAUUUAAUUAUAAUUUUUAAAGUAAUAUACCUAUUGUACUUGCUUGAUGGAAAAAUAUACAGUAGACAACUAACUGUCUGAAAGGAGUGGGGGCGUUCUCUACAAGGCAACCACGUGUGAUUUGUGUCCACUUGGGGAAUCAUAAACUGGACUAGUGCAGGUUCUAUUUGGGAAUCAACUCAUUACUGUUUUUUUAAAAAAAAUAAAAUUGUUACACUCUUUUAAAAAAUUCUAAUUGCCCAUACAUACAUAAUCCGAUAUACGUAUGAAACGAUUUAAGCAGUAAAACCAUUAUUUACUUUUACGUUCUACAACUUCUAACAAGCUAAAUGAAUAUUUGUUUGGCCACAUAUUGUUCCAAUACAUGUAUUUCUUGAUAUUAUAUUAAAUCUUUUCAUCAAUAAAAAAUGGCAUAUGAAUGCAUUAAAUAAUAUAAACCAAGGUGGAGAUCAUGCAUAUCAUAGCGUCUUUAAUUUCGACAUUUGUCCCAAGGGGAAAAUGAAGAGUGGUACGUGCACUUUGUACAAGCGUUGUUUCGACCUGUACGGAAAUCAUAUUGUAGGCAUGGGCUACAUCUUUUUGUGUUUGAAUUUUGUAUAUUGAGUGUGAGGGAAAAGAUGAUUGCUUGUUCCUCUGUCCUAAGCAGAACAAUUCUCCUUUCCCAAACCUCUAUCUCCUUGCUCGUACUUCGAUUUGUCCAUGCCAUCUUUCCUGUGUUUACAACUGAAGCCCUAAUCUGACAUAAUUUUAGGCCUUUGGUGUGUGUUUGGAUUUUUGUUUGAAAUUCUUCCUACGAAAGUUUAUGCAUUCCGAAGCAACAAAAAUAAAAGUAAUUUCAUUGUUACUUCUGUGGAAACGUAAGUUACGUUCAAUAAACUUUUCCUUUAGUAGUUUUGGUCUUGUAUUUCUCCUUGCUAUGUGAUCAUUGACUUUAGCCAUAGGUGGGAAAACAAAAACAGAGAGAGGAAACAUAACAUAAGGACACUUGACCAAUAAAGAGAAAUAUUUUGAGAGGAAGGAAACAAAUUAAACAAAGGAAACUCAACCAUAUCAUACAAAACACAUAUAAAUAGAUCAUUUUGUAAAAAAUCACACACAUACAAUUAGAUAAUCUAAAGAAAAGACAUAAAAAAGGAUGCUUCCAGAGCUCGUUGACGUUGCAUUAAUUAAAUACAUUUUGGUUGCAUGAACCGGAUUCUUUACAAUUAGGGUUGGUUUCUUUGAAGUUUGAUAGCUCUAUCGGUGUAUACAUUAAAAAAAAAAAUGUAAAGAUAGUUCAUCAUUAUAAAACUAUAAUUAUGAUUUCUUAUAGAAGGGGUUACUUGAUUAGGCCAGGCAAUAACAAAGUUUAUAAUAUACCAAAAUAAUAAAUAUUUUAUAUCCAUAAAGAUUGAUCUAUGAAUAAGAAUCAAACUCAUAUUUUAGAAGAUAUAAGUUUGAAUGUCAUUGAUUUUUUAACCUUAAAAGACAUAUUUUUAAUCUUUAAGACUUAACUCACCUAAAUUUUUAUGGAUAAAAAUAUAAAAACAACAUAAUACAUUUAUAUUUAUAUAAUAUACAUAGAGAUUAAUUGACAUACAUGUUAGUGUAAAAAAUAUUAUCAAUCAAUCAAUAUUAUUAUAAUUUAAUUGAAUCUUUUAUUAAUUUUUUUAGUAGUUCAUGCAAUAAAAAAAUCAUCAAAUGAUAUAAUAUGUUUUGCUCUUUUUUCAUGUUUAAAUUAUCGAUAUUAUUGAACAGGAGAUUAGUUUAAAUUAAUCCUUUUGGAGCUUUAAAUGUAGGACUGUUCUUAUUUUACAGAAAGGUUUUGAAUUCACAGCCCUCAUAAAGAGAAGAUACGCAAAUAAUCAAGGAACUAUUUCGUUAAGUCGUUCACUUUCUUAAAAUAACUAUUGCUAAAUUAUUAUUUUUCAUCAUACAUUCAGACAUGAAUAAAUAGGAUAAUAACAAGUUGUAUUGGCGGCAAGCAACCACUCCCAUAUUGUAUACAUAAUUAAUGUUUAAAUGCUCACCAAACGAUGUAUCAAGUAAGAAAAAUCAUAUUGGUUGAGAGAUCUCAAUUAUCAAUUAUUAUGUUUCGAUUAGUUAGAUUUUUUUUUUUUGACAGAAGUUAGAAAUUUUAUUGUUAUGACGAUUUUUCUAUUUUAUAUAAUAGGUGUAUAGGCCAAUGAACCAACUUUUUUUUUAUAUAUAAUAAAUAUUUUUUUCCAAUUUUUUUUUAACUUCUUAAUUCAAAUAUGCACCUUUUUUUUUCAUCUAUAUACUUUGUGUAUAAGAUGAAAAAAUCAAUUAUUUGUACAUCCCCCCCGCCCCCCAACAUAUUUAAAACGUGUGGGUAUGAUUAUUUGAUUUAAAUUUUUAAGUAUGAAAACCAGUUAAAUACUUUUACAAGUAAAAGAAAAAACCAUUUAAUUAAACUUUAGUUAGUUUUGUUAGUACUUAAGCUUAAAACCGAAUUUUUGAAUAAAGCUUUUUACUAAAUUUUACAAAAAAAAAGUUAAUUAAAAAACCAUUUAAAUAAAUAAAAAGAGAGUGGAAUGAUAAUAAAAAAAAUGACUCUGAUUUACUAAUAAUAACAAAUUUAAUUGGAAGUUACGAAUGGACUUUGUCUUUAGGAGCAUUGGGCUAAAAAUUCAAAUAACCUAACUGAACUUCUGUGUUUUAAUUUUGAAUUAAAACCUUCAUCUAAGAAUAAAUGAUAUUUUCAUAUAAAUAUUACAUAUUUAGUUAAUACAAUUUAUGAUUAAAAUAAUUUGUAAAACUAAGUUGAUUAAAGUUAUAAAUGAUUAAUAUGAAUAUGAAAUAAUUGAUAUAAGAAAACUAAUGAGAGGGUGGAGUGGAAAGAAUCUUAGGUGGCAGUACUUGCCAGCCGGCAGAGCCAGCUGCAAGACGUUGUGUUUUGAGUCAACACGUGUCAUGCUGUAGACAAUCCACGUGGGGCCAAAAAUCUUAUUCCAUCUUGACUAGGAAAUAUUCAAUACCUGCCAUCUUUAUUUUCAAGCAAUCAUCUUUUUUUAGUGUUUUUAUUUUUAUUUUUAAGAGUCCCAAAAGCAACUUCAACCAAAAAUUUCAAAUUGUAUUUUCUUUAAUAAAAUUAUAAAGCAUUGGAACGUAAAUCAUUAAUGAAGUAAUUGACGUGCAAAUUUGAAGCUAAUAAAGGAAGCUUUUGCGUUAGUGAAAAAACACGUGAUUUUAAAUGCAAUCUGAUCUGACACAGAUCCAAACAUAUACUGUAACUUGUUACAUUUAUUUUAUUUUUUAUAUCAAAUCACAUGUAUUUUUUUCUUAAUUUUUAUGAAAGAUAAUUUUAUUUGAACAUAAUGGUAAUAAAAUAUUUAUUUUUGAAAGUUGAAAAAUUAAUUUAUUAAAAUAUAAAUAUUUGAUAAAAAUUAGUUGUUGAAAUAAUUAAAAAAUAUAAAAUAACUUAAAAAUAAUAAAAUUAUUUUUUAUCUUAAAAAAAUAAACAUAAAAAUUGAUAAUAUGUUAAAAAUAAAAAUGAUAGAAAAUAUAAAAAAUUAGAAAUUAACCUUUUAGAAAAUAUUAUUUAAAGUAAUAUUUUAAAAAUAUUAAAAAUUAUUAAAAAUAUUAAAAAUUAUUAAAAAAAUUAUUUAUCAAACAAUCAAAUGAUUGUUUUCAAUUAAUAAAUAAAGUUAAAAAUUAGUUAAAAUAUCUAACCGAAUAAUGCCUUGCCGAAUUUAGGACUACACAAAUUAUUAUAAUUUUUUUUAUAUUUUUAUUCAAUUUUUACAAAUAAAAAAUGCAUAAUAAACCAAAAGUUACUUUAACAACCCAAUAAAUAAUUUGGUACUCUUUUCGGUGGGAAAGAAAAGAAUUGAACUUGAAAGAAAGAUGAAGAAAACUGUCCACGAUUGAUUAGCUGAGAAUUAUGGACACGAUUAUUUACGGAUAUAGGAUUAUUUACGUAGAUUCUGUUGAACAAAUUCAUUAGAACUAUAUCACUAUUUUAUGAUAUAUCUUAAUUAAACAUAUUCCUAAUGUUAAUUUUGAUAAAUACUUCUUGUUCUGAUCAUAUAUAUAUAUAUAUAUAUAUAUAUAUAUCUCGGUAUAAAAAGUGUAGAAAAUGGCCGAAUUUUUCGAGCAGGAACUUUUGAUAGAGAAGCUUUAAGAUGCAGGACCAUAUUUCCACGUCCAGGUCUUGGAUAAAAGCAAAUUUGUCUACCUUUACUUACUCUUUUGUACAGUGAUAUACAAAUCCGGGAUCUGUUUGAUUGAUAAAUCUAACUUGGGAUAUUGUUGAGGUGAAUUCGAACCUCUGCUGUUGAAGGCUUAUUGCUUGUUACUUACAGUUGUUGCAAUAGCUUGUAUUCGGGAGUAAUAGAUUAAUAUUACCUUAAUUGAAUGACAUAUAGCAUACAUUAUUUCUAAUUUGUGGUUUUGUUAUGCAUCAUUGAUGCAAUAGGUAAGAGGAUAGUAUAGUGUUGCAGAACCAAGUCAGUUCAUCACGUACCGGUUUAGUUGUGUAAGGGUUGGAUACUCUCCUCUUAUCUUUGUCUUCUUUCUUAAUGAAAAUUUUCUUUUGCUGAUAAAAAAAAUUAUCUACACUAGAUCUUCGCCGUUGAAGUGAAUAUCUGAUUCUUCAAUCGACCACUUAUAAUUUUGAGCUAAAUUAGUCUUUGAUCCGGGAUAAUUUUUUUUUUAUAAGGAUUGACAUAAAUUAGCAACAAUAUGAAAUGACCAUUUUAUAUUUUUGUGACUCAAACAUUUCGAUCUCUUAAUCCAGUGAGUAAUAAUUUAUUUUUAAGUUGGAUUUUUUCUUCUUCUUUUCUUUCAUAAUGCAAAGUUGUAAAACUAAUCAUUUUAUUGUCGUAAAAUUUGAUUAAUCAACAUAUAUAAUAUAUUUUUUACCUAUUUACUAAGAGAAUAAUAAUUCUAGUGCAUGGGGAAAUUGAAGGGACGAAGGUUGAUUGUAGGUCCUGAACUUUCUCUUUUAUUUUAUAAAACUAUUCUAAUUAAUUAUAAUUUUUAUAUAACAAUAUUAAUUUUUAUUAUUUUAAUGUUUUUACAUGUUUUAGCAGCAGCCGCUUUUGCUUAAUUUAAAGCAGCAAAAACACUUGCACAAUUCAAAUGUUCAUGUUUCGCAACAAAAAUAAAUAUUCCGAAAAAUAUGACAAAAUUAAUACGUGACUGAUAAAUUUGUUAUUGACAUAAAUUAUUUGUAACGUGGCUCCAAACAAUUCUUGCAAUUAAAUUCAAACAUGUGAAGGUUGUUAAGGUUCGAUUAUUAUUCUUAUCACCAAACUUUUAAGACACCACCAUUUUCUUUUUACCAAUAUUCCGCGUAGUUUAUGGAGUCAUAAAACUAAUAGAUCUUUAUGUUGUCCCUUUUAAUAAUUAUUUUUUUGUUUCUCCUUUAUGAGGGUAGUGGAAAUAAAUGUUUAAUAUACUUGAAGUUGAAAGACGUGAAAUGGGAAUCCAACUAAUCAAAGGAUUAAAAAAAAUCAAUGUAUUAGAUUAUCUUUAUUUAUUUUAACGAGUUUAUAUAGGAUUGAAAUAUAUUUUAACAAGUUUGAAUUUUAGAUAUAUAAUCGGAAAAAGAAUAUUAUUUUUCAUAAUAAAUCUAACUCGAAUUAUGUUUCUUGGAUAGAGGAUACCUUGAUCUGUAAAAAAUAACCGUUUACACUUGAAUACUAAAAUCAAACAUUCUUUUUUUUUUUUCUUGAAAGGAAAUCAAACAUUCUUUGAAAACCUUUGAUGGGUUGAAUGCUUGAUCGCAAUUUAUUAUAUGGUGAUGAUAAGUAAGGUUUGAAAAUGAAUAAAUAUUAAAUAAAGGUCAUUCAACUGAAUUGAGGGUUAAGAAAAAAAAAAUGAAGGAAAAAAACGCGGUGACGCAAAUUACGGAGAAUUUUAAGAAGUCAAGUUGACUCCUCUUACUUUUGUUAUUCUUUCUCUCCCACCGCUUACAAUUUACUAUUAAUUUUUGUUAUUUUGAAAACCAAUAUUUAAUUAUAUUCCACGUUACAACUUCGUUUACAUUUUAAUUUGGGUCAAAUUGCUAAUAAUCUAAGGCGUACGUUUGUCUAAUGAGAAACUAUAAAAUAUAUAUUAUUAUAUUCUUAUUUAAAGAGCAGAAAAUUGAUUUGGUAGAGAACUAAUUCAAACUCUUUGUGCUCUCCACUCUUUAGAGUUUUGUUUAAUACCCCAUUAAAUAAGGAAAAAAAAUGAAAAGAAAGGGAGAAGGUAGAAAUAAUAAAUUCCAUCACUUAUUAUAAAUGGAAAGGAAAAAAUAUUUAGAAAGCAUUAUAUAUAUAUCCCUCAAUUUUACUAUUUUAACCUUUUAUUAAUUAUAUUAAAUAUUCUUUUCUUUUUUCUGAUAUCAAAUGAUACCUUACUUCCUUUCCUUCCACGUACUAGGUCUUUUCAGGCUUUAUUUUAAGUUGAACUUUCAAACAAAACAUGUGCGUAUACAUGGUUAUAUAGCAUGCAAGCAUUUAAUUUUACCCUUGACCUUUUGUAUGUAUAUUCUUUUCAAUACAAUUAUUUUAUGUCGAGAAAGUCAAGAUUUCGCAUGUCAGAUGGAAUUAUAGUUCUUCAAAAUUGUAAAUGGACCAAAAAAAAGGACAACUAUCAUAGCAAAAUUAUUCAAUAUUUUCUAUUUGUUGCACUUAACGACUUACUUACGACACAUGUGCUACCUGAUCUGUUUAGGAUCUAGCCCCCCCCCCUGUUUUAUAAAAAUAAAAUUCUCAGUUUAAUCCUUUAAAUUUAUAUGUGUAAUUAUUUUAAAAAUUUAUAAAAAAAACUCUCUAAUAAUUAAAUUGUCACUUUGCUAAUCCUCUAAAACAUUUGAUAACAAAUUAAUUCAUAAAAUUUUAAAAGGAAAUUAUUUUAUAUGAAAGUGAGAAAAUUUAUGAGUUUUUUAAAAGAAUAACAUCAUCUAAGAAAUAUAUUUUGAUACCCAUAAAUUUGAAGAAUAAAGUUUAAACUCCUGACAAGAUACAAAAUUAUUCAUGAAUCAUGUUACCUAAUAACUUCCUAUUGAUCCUUAUAAAAGAAUAAAAUGGUGGGAAAAAAAAAAUUCUUUUAGUGCUUUUUUUUUUUGCUGAAUAAAUUUAUUUGAGUGCUAAUUUGAUGAGAUUAAAUCUUAAAAAAAUAUCUUAACUUUUAUAAUAUUGAUUUCUGUUGAGGACUAGUGAAAGAUUAAUGUUUUUUUAUUCAUAAGAAUCAAAAAUAAAUAUUUGUGAGUUUGCAUGGAAUAAGUAACUUAUGUAUUUUGGUUAAUUAAUUCAACUAGAUUUUUUGAUAAAUAUUAAAUUUUUUAUUGUUGAGAUUAAGAAUCCAAUAAGAUUGAAAAAAAAUGAGCCAGCUUGAUUCUUUAGUAUGGUUGAGAUGGGAGAUAAUAGAGGCUGGUGAGGGGUGCGAGAUGAGGGAAAUGAUUACAUAAUUAAUUAUUAAUUUUUAUUAGUAAGAGAAAUUGAAUCUGUGAUUUUUUUAAUAUUGUUUUCUUAAUCAUCUAACUAAUUUUAUAUAUCUUAUAUAACAAUAUUAUAGGCUUAUUAUUUGCUUUAUUAUUCAUAAAAGAAAAGGUUAUUAUAUAUAUAUUAUUCGGCCGUCGUUAUGUGUCAAUGAGAGCAUAUACUUUUUUUAAUGCAUUUUAUUUUUAUUUUUUAAAAAAUUAAAUAUUUUAUUCUACUAUUUUUUCUCUUAUUUUUCAUUUAUUAAAAAACCCGUACAUUGCACAAGUUCCAAUGUUACUUUGCUUUAAAAUCUUCUUUAAAGAUAACUUAAGUAUACUAGUACCGUAGUACGUGUGUAUAAUACUUUACAGAGUUGAUCAGAAAGUGCAUAUUGGUUAUGUUAGAAACACAGAAAAGUUAGAGGAUUUCGGAUUGGAUUAGUUAAGUAACUAAUUUGAAACUUUUAAAUAAUAAAAAAGAACAAGUUAACUUUAUAAUGAAGUAGUUAUUUGGCAACAUUUUGAUUCAUAAUCUUGAUAUUGAUAGCUUGAAUGGCCUCAUAUGCAAACAGGUUUUCACAGGGCCGGCUAUAAUCUGAACCUAUAAAACAAAAGUAAGGGUUUUAACUUUUUAGGCCCCACAUGUUCUUUUAUGUAUACAGUUUCAGUGUUUUACUAUGAUAUGAUAUAAUUUGAUUAUGUUUAAAUUAAAAUUUCUUUAAUAAAAUUCCUAUAUACUCUUUUUUUGUAAUUAAUCUAGAAAAUUAAUUUUAUCAGAACUAAGUCUAAGAACUAUAGUAAAUAUUUUGCUCCCGUGCCAAAACAUAACUACGAAUUUGCAAAGGCAAUCGGUAACCAUAUUACAAAUCAAAACCAAAAUAAAACGAAGAUAAGGAUCUUGAUCUAUGUUUUUUUUUUUUAUUCCUUUAUACGUAUUACAGGACCGCGACUCUCACUCUCGAGGAUAAAAUAAGUAAUGUCAUUUGUUGAAAAAAAAAAUCAAAGAUUGAUAUUUAAUUGACAAACUAUGAAUAUAUUAAAAUAUCAAUUAUUACUUUUUUUUUAUCAAUGAUUUAAAUUUUAUCUAGUAAUUUUUGCUCUCCUCAUAGACUGUGUCUUCUUGCUUCUGUUGUUUUGCCUGGCUUAUAUUUAUACGACUUUGUACUAAAUGUAGAAGAUAAGACAAUAAGGAGGCUAUGUAAGAUAGUUCAGUUUGUUUCUCUUGCACAAUUUUGAUAAAGACAGGGGACAAACUAGAUAUAUUACUUUUGUGAUAUGGAAGGAACUAUACAUUUUUUUUUAUAUAUUAACCAUAACUUUGUUUUUCAAGCAAAAAAGUAUUUAUCAUUAAUUAAUUAAUUAAUUAAAGUUUUCUAAUUAAUAAUCCACAAAAAUUUAUAGACAUUCCUAUUUUUCCACUUACAAAAAUUUCUCGUCAUUGACAUCUUAAUUCUUAGUACAAUAAUUACUAGCAACCAGGGAUGAAUCCAAUAAUUCUUAUCGGUGGAGGUAAGAAAUAAUUUAUGAUAUUUCUAUAAAAGAAAAAUAUUGUAAGUUUUUAUAAAAUACAUGACAAAAGAAUAAUUUUAAAUACUUAAACUUUUAUAAAUUAUAAUUAUGUUUUAUGUAUUUUCAUUGAAAAUGUCAUGUGAUUGCAUCAUUGUUAAUAUUAUAAAAAAAAUAUCUCUUUAUGUAUGUAAUCAAAUAAUUAUUGAACCAUUAAUCUUGUAUCUUUUUUUCUUCACCAAAGAAACAUCUUAAAUGACAAAUUCUCUUAAUCUAUUUCUUAUUCUAUUUAAAAAUUAGGAUGAAAUCACUCAAAUAAAAACAUGUAAUGUAAGUUAGUGAAUGAAUUGUUGUGCUUGGUUGAAUAUUUAUUAGAGGAGUUGGAACAUUAAAAUUUAAGUUAUUAUUUUGGUCUUCUAAUUUCUUAGGUUCAAUUUAGACCUUUUAUUUUUAAAAGAUUUAAUCUAAUCCUUAAUUUAUAUAUAUUAGAUUUGAUUUAUUUCGUUUAUUUUUAAAAUUUCUAAUUAGGUCUUUAUUUUUGAAAAUAAAUUCAAUUGGGUUUCAUUUUUUGAAAAUAUUUGGACAUAAUGAAAAAAAUUAGAUCAAAAUAAAUUCAUUUUAAAACAUAAAAAACCUAAACAAAUCCUUUAAUUAAAUUAAAGGAACUAAAUUGAAUGUAAAAAAUAAAUUAGAGGAUCAAGAUAGUAAUUAAAUCUAAAAAUUAAAAGAAUAAAAUAGUAAAAUUUAUAUCAAUUUAUUCUCUCUUUUUAUUUCUUAUAUUUUUAUAUAUGUUUUUAAAAAAUUAUAUUAUAAGAACAAUACCUAUUUUUUGAUAGGAACAAUUUUUUUUAUUACACAUAUAUAAGUUAAAAUAUAAAUUUAAAGAAAUUGCCUCUACACCACAAUAGGUGAAUCCAUCCCUGCUUGCAACUUAUUAUCAUAAGCAUGCUUACGGCAGUGUUAUGAAAAUAUUCAAUGGCCUAAGAAGGGUCCAAUGGUUUACCCUCAUUAGUGAUAAUAUAGGGUUGAAAAAAAAAAACCCUCAUAAAAAAGUACACAUUAGUUUACUACCUACCUCUUGAUUUUGAUUCAUAGUAACUUGCAUGUGGGAUGGUUUGCAAAUAUACUUUCUCUUAUUUGAAACAUAGAAAGAUCACUAUUGCAGUUCCUACUCAUCUGCCAUAGAAGAUCCAACUCAUUCUCUUGAAAUUGCAAAAUACGUGAUCGCUCUUCUAGCUCCUUUUAUGGCCGAUUGAAGUGUUAGAUCAAAGAAGAAACUAAAUAUUGAUAUUUUAAUUCUUAGUGUUAUAUUUUGAGUUAUCAUAACUAAUUCAUACCAUAAUAAUAUAUGUGAAGUUUUAACUAUUUUUCUUAAAGAAAGAGAAUCAUAUCAUUUCAUUUUAUCAUUCAAAAUAAAAAAUGAGUACAAGAUGAGAUACAAUAGAAAAAAAAAACAUUAUUAUUAGCAUACAAUUUUUGACGUCCUAACUAAUUGAUAUGCUUAUCUUUUGAGAAAACUCACCACAAACUUUGAAUAACUAUUAAGACAUGCUCUACAUUAAGACAAGUUGAAGUUUAAAAUGACCUGCAGUGAAACUCAAUAAACCAAACCAACUACAACUGUGUUGCAAUCAUCAAGCUCAAAAAUUACAUUUUGGACAUCAGGAUCAGCCAACCAUGUUAAGCUCGGAAAACUACACCCGUUUUAUAAUAUUGAAAAAAACUUUUCAUAUAUUUAAAAUUUGUAGAUCAGUUUGAAACUAUUAUAAAUUCCAUGUGUUAAAAGGGAAUUUUCAAUGUUCGGUAGUUAGUAGUGUUUGAAAGAUUAUUAUUGCCAUUCAUUGAAUUGAGAGUGUAUUGAGGCCUAUUAUUUGGCGCACCACCAGUAAUAGAAAAUUAAAACAAUUACACUAAUUAUUUGGCAUCAGCAUUUGUCAAUCUCAACCAUCUAAUCACUUCCUGUAAUCAAGUACGAAAAAACAAUUCUUUUUAAUUGAGUCAGUGAUUUGCCGCCACUUUUUGUCUCUAAUUAUCAAAGCCUUGUAUGUUAGGCUACCUUUGGAUUGUUUUGUUGAAGAUCAAUAUGUGGCUCAACUGCUCAAGGUUGCAAUCAAUCAACCCAUCGAAAUUUUUUUUCUUCAUAUUUUUGGUUUAAAACACAAAAAUAUCUUUUAAUGAAAGCAAUUUUGCCCAAGUUUUGUAAAACUACUUUAGGUAUUAAAAUUUGAUGCAAUUACAUGUUUUGACUCGAAUUCAAAAUAACUGAUUAAGAUGAGACAAUCUCAUACCAACUCGUUUAUGCACUUGAUGAUAAAUUUUCCAUAUAUUAAUUAACCAAUAUUAUUUUCAUCUUGAAUCGUUUUUUACGGGCCUCGCAGUAAAAGGCAAGAGACGAACAACAAAUCAAAAGACAAUACCAAAUAUGGUGGUGGCGGUCCCUAAAUUCAAAGUGUCCCUGUGGGUGGCAUGUGCUAAUUGGCUCUCUUCUUAUCAUAAGGAACAUGGGUACCUGGUUUUUGUGGCAUUGGCUCACUCUUUUUUCUCACCAUCAACACAACAUUUACUAAAUAUCCACUUGACAUUCCACUCUACCCUUUUAGCAUCGGUGUCAAACCCCUUACACACCCAAUAACCGUUGGUACACCUUCCAUUUUAAACUGUAAAGUUAAACUCUUCCUUUUUCCUAGGUAUAAAAAUCUUGAACUUACUUAUAUAACAUGCAUUGCAUUUGUCACACACAAGCUUUGGACAACACGAGAUAAAAUUAAUUAAACACCCUGAUCAAACAUUAAUUUGAGGAUUAAUAUAAAACCAUUAUAAGCUUAGAAGUUGGAAUUAAAUUAAUAUAUGAGAGAAUAAGAAAGUAGGCAAUCAUGGACAAAUCCUAGGGAAGUUAUUGAGAAGAACAUGAGAACCACCAACUCGAUUUUUUUAUGAUCCGUUCUUAUCUCAUCUGAAUAGUAGAUAUAGAGUAAGCAGAUAUAUGGAAAGGAAUGGAAACAAACGGCUAAGAACUCAAAACUAGUAUGCUUUUCUUAACUUAUAACCAUAAGAACUUGUCGGCACGUUAGAACAAAAACAAACAACUUUGUAUUGUUCAAACUAACCGUGACAAAUUAGAUUCGUUCGCAGACGCGUAUUCAAGGAAACCCCACACCACCCAACAUAAGAAAUAUGCAACCUUUUCAAAUGCCAGCUCAGUUCGCAUGCCUGAUAGAAUGGGUAAGCUAAGAUACCACAUAUAUAUGUUGUACAAAAGAUGCUUAUAAUAUUUAUUUAAAAAAUAAGAGCACAAUUAUCGCUAAUUUUCUGAUCCUCAAGUCUCCGACCACUUUUUUUAUUUGCCUAAUGCUUAUCAAAAGGUAACCAAAUGAUUGGCCAUGAUUGGGACAUUCUUUAAUAUAGUGCGGGCUUUGGAGUAAGAAAGGCAAAAGGUAUUUAGCUGAUCACAAAAGAGUGAAAGAGACGAACAAAAUCAAAGAAAGGCAUUAUGAAGAUAAAAUAAACAAGGAGAAGCUAAAAUUGGUGCUAAUUAAAUUAAACUACAAUUAUUCUACUUAAUACUCUUACAUUAUAGAGAUUCGUUACAACUACUAAAAACAAAUGCCAUUUGAAGCACCUGGUCCCUUUGAUUACCUUCUUCUGGCCCAAUGACAACCUGCUACGAGUUGGAGAGCAUUUACGAAUAAUCUAAACCAAAUGUUUGUAUAGGAUGUCCGUAAGAGAUUCCUUUUAAUUGCUCCUCUUAUUUUUUUUUCUCGUUCAUUUAUUUUCCCUUCUUGGUUUGUAUAAGCUUAACAAGAAUAACUAUCCGUAUAAUUGUAAGGGUCACUUUGGAAUACGAACAUGGAGUUAACAAAGAUCACCAGGACUAUUGGAGAUUAGAAUUUGUGUUUGGGUCCUUUUCCAAGAGUGUGGGAGAAGUGGGUUACCGGACUUUUAACUUAAGUGACCUCUUAGUCCAAAAAUAUCUUGGCACUUCGAAUUUAUGGUAUUUUUUUUUUAUUUACAAGCGAAUUUAUGGUAUUCUUAUUUAUAUAUUUUUUAACUUGUUUUUAACAUACCAACGUUAGACUUAUUUUCCAACACUCCUCCUCAUGUCCUUAACCUUAAGGACAGUGUGAAAUGUCAUUUGUGAUCAAUUGAGUUUGGGGCAAUUUCUUCCUGCACCCUAAUCCGGAUCGGAAUGUAAUUUAAAUUUUGGAUUUUCCAUUCCAAAAUGUAAAUUUAUAUUUUUUACAUUUUGGAUUGAGCUUUCUGCAAGGUUAAAAUGAUGCAGGAAGCACAUCGGAGGUGAAGGAAGCAAUUGCCUGAGUUUGGAAGUUGAGAUUCGUGAUCUAGCCCAUCUACAAUAACAGUUUGGACCUUGACUUGUUUUAUUUUGGCAAUUGCUAUUUCCACUUGCCAAUUUUGCUAAUGCACUCCCCUUUUAAAUUUGUUUACCCAAACUACCCUCUAACCGGAAAAUAGAUUCUGGAAUUUCUCUACACUCCCUCUUUUUUCGGAGUCUAAUUUCCCGAAGCCAAUUCUAUUAAAUAGGGGAUUAAUCUGAUAAUAGUAUCAAAUUAGUGUAUGGAAUGAGUGCAUGCAGUGGCGGGGUUUGAAAACGGGUCUGUCAUAAAAUGAUGUGCAGUGUGUGGAUAGAAGCAAAUUCAACCUAUUAAAAUACCCCGAACAGGAUUGCACCAAGAUAUCGAUCUCUCUUUUGAGAAAAGACACAACACGUAACAUCAUGGACCAAGUCCAAUUCUGAAAUUUCUUGUCUGACCUGAUAUAAACAGGAUAUGGAGAGAAUCACAUUCCACUAGCAUCAUUCUUCAUUACCACUGUUUCUGCCUUCCAACUGUUCGAUAAAACUCCCAGCCCAACUGAUCCUUCUGUUUUUAUUAAAGCCAUACAAAUCCCACCUAUCUCCAUAGGCCACCACAUAUUCCCUGGAAGUGCCUGAUACAAGGUCAACAAAACAUAUCUGUCUACCCUCCAAGGCCCAAGCCUCCCAAGCAAGACAUAUUUAAAAAGCCAAGCAGUUUACAAGAUUUAUUAACCUCGCUGAAAGUGGAUAGAUUAUUUAGAGUAUCGAAAGUCAGAAUGUUGGGUGCAAUUAGUUGGCGACAAGGACAUUAUUUCACAAUUGGCGUAAAGCUUGUUGGUACUGAAAGAGAGAUAAAAGGAUAGCUUUUUGAUAGAUACGAAUUUUUGUAUUAGGUGGAGAAACAUGUAUGAUUCAUGUUGCUUGAAUCUUUUUCUAUUGUGGUUUCUUGAACUGACACGUCUUGUGCUUUUUUGGAUUUUUUUUUUUUGAUAAAGAUUUUGCUUAUCCAAAAAAAUAUUCCUUAAAGGGGGGAGUGUAAAUACAUUUUAGAGUCUAUUUUCCAGUACGAGGAUAUUUUGGGUAAACAAAUUUAAAAGGGAGUGCCUUAUAAAAAAGGAGGAGUAGAAAGAACAAUUGCCUCUAUUUUUAAACUUCAACUUACUCGUUAAGUUUGGACCUCAAAGACAAGUUUAACUUAUUGCCCGGUGCUUCUUUUCUUGAGUAUUAGAGGUCUUUGUUAUAGCCUUUUUUGGUUUUGUUUUGGGCCUUCGAAGAUUUCUUUGCCAAUCUCUAUUCCUUUAUUUUUUUGGACUUUGGGUCUUCCCUUGGACAGACUUUGACAGUUGAUAUAAAAUUAGAUGUUAGACUUAAAUAAUUUUUUAUUGUUGUAAUAUAGGAUUGCUAUCAUUUUGGUUUUCUUUAUUUUUUCUCUCUUUUGAUCCUUAUAAAAUAUUUGCAUUUGAUUUUGGUCCCUUGCAUUACUACUAUUUCAGUUCCUAUACAAUUGAAAACUUUUUAUUAUAUAAAUCUCUUUUAUAUUAAAAAAAAAUUCAUUUUAGUUCCCCUUAUAUAUAGAAGGAUUUUCAUUUUAGUUUCACUUCUAUAGGGAGAUUUCCAUUUUAGCCCUUACAUAAUACUGUAAGAAACAUUAAACUUGUUUUCAAAUUUUAUUAAUCAUAUCACUUAAUAAAAAUUAUGAAAUUGAUAACUAAAAUGAAAAACAAAUAAUUAAUAGGGAUCAAAAUGAAGAAAUUUUAAGAGGACAGAAUGAAAACCAUAUAUUAUAUAGAAACUAAAAAACUAUUUAAGUCUAGAAUUUUAUGUGGACCUUUAUCCAACUUAAAAGAAUGGAUUAGUAAAGACUUUUUACCUUAGCGACCUGUUUGUUUAAAAAUGCUUUGAUGCUGUUGGACUGAUCAUGGCUCUCUCAUAUAAUAAUAUCCUUUUACCCAUUCUCUAACAAAAGAUACAUCCAUCUAUAGUAUCCAUAGAAAUAGACUAGGAUAAAAAGUGAUGAGAUAGUAACGUAUUUUCAUGAGAUAACAAUAUCCCUCACUGCUUACAUCAGACAACUGUAUUCCACACAGCCACAUCAGAUGACAAUAUCCCACACUGCUUCAGUGGUUAUAUUCGUGCGUGGCGCCACACUAGUAGCAUCAUAAUGUCUUAUGCACAGGAUUUUCGUUUAAAUGAAAAAAGCCUACUGUGCAAUUGAAUAUUUAAAUGGAACGCAAUGCUGUAAGCCAGUAAUUCAGAAUCAUUCGUGAAGAUUGUAUAUUGCAAUCUAUAUAUGGUUAUGUUUGAUCUUCUGUUUGGAAUGCUUCAAACUUAUUUAAGAGUAUUAGAUUACUGUUGUGACUGGUAUUAGUUAGUUUAAUUAGUUAUAAAUUAGUUACUCUUGUAAUUAAUUAUAUAAGAAUUUAUUAACAUUAAUUAUAUAAGACUCAAUGUAUUUAUGUAAAAAUUUAAUUUACUCAUAAGAGUAUUAUUUAAAAUAAUAUUCAAUUUUUUCUUUCUCUCUUUUACAUCUCUAUAUCUUAAAUUUUAUCAUGGUAUCAAAAUCUUACCACCCAUCAUAGAAAUUUUCCGUUGAUCCUUCACCUUUUUGUUUCUGUUUGGUUUUCCUCUUUGUUGCCACUAUCGAUCAACCUCUUCAUUCACCGCUCUCGUCAUCCUUUAUCACGAGUCAUCGAUUAUAGCCAACACCUACUUUCAUUCAAUCCUUAUUCGUCUUCUCCUCAUAUUUCUCUUCUCGUCAUCCUUUAUCAUGAGUCAUCGAUUAUAACCAACACCUACCUUCAUUCAAUCCUUAUUCAUCUUCUCCUCAUAUUUCUCUUUGUUGUCACUAUCGAUCAACCUCUUCAUUCACUGCUCUCGUCGUCCUUUAUCACGAGUCAUCGAUUACAGCCAACACCUACCUUCAUUCAAUCCUUAUUCAUCUUCUCCUCAUAUUUCUCUUGUCGUUUUUUGAUUUCAUUUUCCUAAAAUUUCCCCAAAACACAAAAUCCUAACAUUUUCCUUUUCCAUUUCUGGCCAAUUCGGGUUGCAAUUCAUGAAACCACCACCACCAAUCGACUUAUUUCCAUGUCCGCAGCAAAACCCUUAUGAUUUUAGUUUCUGUCGCUGUGCGUCGCAGUGAGGUGAUUUUCGGCCGCCGCGAUCCUCCGUCAUUCGCCACAGACAAUGAUUUCUGGCCACCGUCGGAUCUGAAUCUCUCCAUUGCCUAUUCUGCUUUCGACGUUCCAUGCUCUCACCUUGUGCUUUUCAAUUUGGUCAUUUAGCUAUCUCUUCCAUCCUCCUCUGUUUUUGUCGUCGUGUUGAUUGUCACACAAGUGUAGUGUUUGGAUUUUGACAGAUGUUGUGUACGAUGGAAUCUUCUUAGGCUUUUUGUUUGAGCACUAAUUUGAGAUUGUUGAAGCCUCUUAUUGGAGUUGUUUAGUUCGAUUAGUUGAUGAAUUUUCUCUUCUUGUUUGAUACUGUGCUACUUGCUUUCAAGCUGUUUGUGAGUAUUCCUGUUUGAUGACAGAUUAGAGUUGUGGUUGCUUCUGUUUCACAAAAUAUUUGUAAAAAGUCAUCAUUAAAGAUAAAUUUUGUGUUCUUCUAUUUAUUGAUGCUUUAUGUUGAUGUAAACUUUUGUCCAUGGUGAUUAAGCAUUGUUUGAGUUUUUGCCAUGAAUGGUUAAGCAUUGAAUUAUUGUUUUGCUUCUGUCUUGAGUGGUUAAGCAUUAUUGUUGGCUUCUACUCUUGAUGAUUAAGUCUUGUUGCUUCUGCCAAGUGGUUAAACUUUGAGGUAUAUUUUCUGCUUGACAGUUAAGCUUUGAUAGCUUCAUGGAUUGAUGGUUGUAGCUUCUACCAAGUGGCCUUGUGUUGUGGCUUCUACUUGGCGGUCAAGCUUUUGAUGAUUGAUUUGGACUCUUAGUUCUAUUGGAGUUGGAAGAAGUUCUACGAGACUUGUAUUAUUACUUAGUUUCAUUGUAUUUUGAUAUUUUUUCUAUUAUCCUCUCCAAGCUAGAAGUGUUAUAAACACCUUCCAGCUUGGGGGGCUAUUAGAGAUAAAAAUUACUAUUGGAGUUGGAAGAAGUUCUACGGGACUUGUAUGAUUACUUAGUUUCAUUGUAUUUUGAUAUGUUUUUUUUUAUUAUCUAUACUACAAGAUGCAUCUAUUUUUUAGUUACCUAUCACUUAAGAAUUUUAUAGUUAAACGUGUUAGUUUUGGAGUAGUUAUGAGAUGUGUGACCUUUUGGAAAAUUUCCUGAAAAAUGUGUGAGUGAGGACAAAACAUGUUAAAAAGUCUUGUUUUGAUUUGUGGGGUGAGUUAUUGAUUCUAGAAGCAAACAGAACUGGAGGUCAAAGGAUUACCUACGAAGAGUUUUGACUAAUAAGGAUGUUGAGUGAAGUACCACCGCUUGAAGUAUUGUAGUGUGAGAGUCGCUCAGAAGUUGAAAAUCAGGUAUGUUACAAAUGAUAUGAGAACAAACCUCUCUUCCAUUACGGUGUGGUUCAAAGAUGAAUCAAAUGGAAGCUGGUGAACAUGUAACACUCCGAUCGAAUCAACCAGAAUGAGAGAGAUUCAAAGACUAUGGAAAUAUAAGACUGUACAACCGAUGAUGAUUUAAAUGAAUUAAUUGAUAUUACCUAUACUAACAAGAUACAUUUAUUUUUUAAUAGUCAAUCACUUAAAAACUCUAUAGUUAAGCAUAUUUAACUUAAAGUAGUUACGAGAUGAGUGACCUUCUGGUAAAUUUUUAUAGAAAGUGUGCGAAUAAGAACAAAACAUACUAAACUGAAAAGUCUUGUGUAUUGACUUGUGGGGUCAAUCAUUAAUUUUAGAAGCAAAUAGAACUGCACCGAUAAGUAAAAAAUCCGGAACCUUAAAGUGAUAAUAAUGUUUCCCACAUGAUCAUGCAUAACACCAACAUAGGCAGCUUGCUUGAGGAAGCUUUAUACGACCCAUCAACAUUUAUUAACAGGCUAGGAGGAGGGGUCCAAGAGAUGGCUACCUCUUUCCGAUUGGGGGGAGCGAGGACAGAGAGUUUCCCGAUGUUUCCUUCGAAAUCACCUUGGUCAUAGAAACAACAUGCUGACAUAGGUAUAGGGCAUAUUAGUCCUGUUAUUGAACACCAGCUUAUUACGAUCAUUCCAUAAAUGGUAAGUAGCAACUCCAAAUAAAAUAGGCCAGUCGAGAUUAACAUUUCCACUAUCAAGAGAUGAAAGAUUAAACUGAAUCCACUCGUGAAGACCAAGACUAAAGAAUUUUGCCCAACUGUGGGAAGGGACAGAGCAGUCCCAAAAGAGGGUCAACUCCUCACAAUCCCAAACCAUAUGCAUAAUAGUUUCAGGACCAUGGUGACAACAGGGGCAGGUAUCAUUAUUAGACAUAUAGCGCCUCAUGCACUCAUGGUUCGUAAGCAGUCUGCCAUGCACAAUCUUCCAAAGGAAAACUCAAAUCUUCCAAGGGUCAUUCCACUUGCAAACUAAGGGGAAAAUACUAUCAACUUGAGACGGAUCAUCAUCUAGCAUAAAAAGGUAAUAAUAAACUGUUUCUAGUGGUCAAAAUACCAUUUGCUGAAUGGCAUCAAAUAGGAACAUCCUCUCCUGAUGGGGAUGGAGGUUUGACAGCUGAAAUCAAAUCACAAAUAUCUGGGGGAAGCAAAGUAGAGAUCGUGUCCCAUCUCCAUCCAGAUUCACAUGCAUAAGCAGAAAUAGGGAGGUUAAUAACAACAUCAACCCCUCCAAAUACGGGACGCAUCAACAACAUGUUUAACAAUCGGGAUAACUCCCAUCCCACAACCAUACUUAGCUCUAAUAACUUUAGCCCAAAUCUUAUCAGGUUCAUGAAUAAGAGACCACCCAAGGUUAUGCGGCUAGCUAGAGACAAAUUCCUGGCCUUCUAGCUAGAUAAUUUCUUUUUAAUCUUUUCCAAGAUACCAUCAUACUGAUGACAAGGUUUUCUUCCAUGCAAAAUAGAGAACCCAAGAUAAGAUGUAAGAUUAUCUGUAAUUGGAAUGUUGAGCUUAACACUUAAAUUGACAACAUUUGGUCUAACAUUCUUCCAAAAGAACAUAGAAGAUUUCGCCAUCCUAAUAGCUUGAUCAGAAGCCCCACAAAAGAGAUUAAUAAUCCUAUUCAUUUCAUUAACUUGUCUCUCAGAAGCUUCUCCCACUAAGUUGUUAUCAUCAGCGAAAAAGAUAUGAGAGAUAGGAGUUUGAGUCCCCCUCCCAAAGUUAAAAGGAACCCAUUCCUUGUUCUGGACCGAGUCAAAGAUAAUAAGAUGAGAGAGUCGUUCAUCACUGAGGAGAAAAAGUUAAGGGGACAUGGGAUCCCCUUCGCGCAUACCCCAAAUGCAUGUAUAUAUGCAAAGAUAAAUAAGUGAAAACAUAAAUAAUUAAAUAUGAUCUCAUGAACUAUGCUAAAUGCAAAAUUGCAAACAUGUGAACCUAUCUUAGAAACCUUAUUGUGGCUAACAAAACAAAAAGAUAUUUUGAACUUAACCUAAACUAUAUAUAAAUUAACUUUUAACGAAAAAUCUGUCGAAGAUAUAUGCUAAUUUCAUUGAGUUGAUAUAAGCUACAGCCACAACAAGAAUCAAACUAUGUAGAGGUGGGAAAUUUAUGACUCAUAAGCCACGACACUUCCAUGUGUUUAGUUGGCAGUUGGCCCUACUGUUUGCUUUUUUUUUUUUUUAUUAUUGAUUUAGUUUCAUUAUUUGAACAUAGAAAGAUUAAUAUCAUACGUGAUUAUUAUCUAAUUAUUUAUAUUUAUAUUUAUAUUUAAUUUAUAUAUAUAUAUAUAUAUAUAUAUAUAUAUAUAUAUAUAUAUAUAGAUUUAUGUUAAAGAACGUUAUAUUCAUUGUUGAUCUAUAUGAGUGAUAAAAAACUUUCUGUUAUCAUCAGUUUUCGGUGAGGGUUGCUAGCUCUUCCUUCUACUCAUCCUUCUCUUGGCUAUUCAUAUUAAUUGGCUUGCUCAACUUGCAAAUGAUUAGGACCAGAACUUUAAUUUCUAAUUUCUUUACCGAAAACGUUGAUUUGAAUUAUAAGCUUUUUGUUCCCUGGCAAUAUUAUCUUUUAUUUAUGAAUUUUAUUUCGAGAAGCUGCUGCAUAAUUAUAUUCUCUUUUGCAUUUUGCAGAGAGCACAAGUAUCUUUUGUACGAAGGAAUCUGCUCGAUCUAGUUACGAUAACUAUGGAUAUGGAAGUUUUUCUUCAUUCCCAAUAUUUAACUUAGCUGCAUAAAACUAUUGACUAGAACAACCUUACGUCAUGUUCUAUGAUAGCUAGCAGCUACUACUGGUAAGCUACUGCAGAGCUUAACACAGCCUCACCUCCCUUGCACGUUUUGUACCUGAUGAAGAGCCAACACAACCAUUGGUGCUAGUCAAAAACUGAUUAAAAAAACCCUUUCAGUUGCAGCUAUGCCGUUACUUUGGAAGAUGGAGUAUCAUGAUAUUCUGGAAUAAACUAAUCAGACAUAUAUAGACCUAUGUACAGUAGUGUAAAUGGUUUUUACUUGGAUAAAUUUAGAUUCCCUUUUGUUGUUUGUUAUGGAAUAAUAUGAAAUAUAUAAGCCUUUUAGAAGGGGAAAAAAAUGCAAAUUCAUCAUAGACCACAAUAAUUGGAUGUAAAAUCCAAUAUUUUUUUUAAAAAGAUAUUGUCUUCUCUCUCGACUUUAGGGAACCAUUUGAAUUAUUUUGGAAGCUGAAAACAAACAUAUUAUUAGAAAACCAUGCGUUCUCUCCAAUUCGAUACGAUCUAAGACCCUGAGUCAGUGGGUAUAAAUUAUAAAAAAUAAAAUUAGUGGGUUCAAUUAUAUAAAUAUAAAUAAAAUAAAAUAUAAAAAUAUAAGAUUUUAUUUACAAAUUUAGUGAAUUUUAAAAAAUGAGGGGAUGCAAGUGCACACCCUCGGUUCAAUGUAGGUUCGCCACAUCACUACUCAUGUUUCUGAAUUACGGUUGACAAGCAUAUUUAUUACGAACAAUAUCAAUGUUUUAAAAGUUUUUACUGUAUCACAUUGUAAUAGUAGUAAUGUUAUUGGAACCUCAAUUGUAAUUUAAAACCGUAUUACUAACAUAUAUAUAAAGAUCGAUCUAUUUUAUUUUUGUUACUGAUGAUAUCAGUGUUGAUUAGUUAAAUUAAUCUACAACCUUUCAGUUAUUCUAUGAGUUGCUAAAUAUCGCUGUAUGCUUCAAAAAAUGGGAAAAGUCAAUAAUUUAUUAGGGAAUACUUUCUUAAUUCCAUAAAUAAUUGUAUAAUAAUAAUAAUACUAUACUAUAAUACAGCAUUGAUUUGGGCGAUCGAAAGGCGAAUAUUUACUACUUAGCCAUGAAUUUCUUCUUAAACCACCUCUUGACCAUUAUUUGCCGCCUUUGAUGAACGAAGUGAAUAUUGACUUGCCAUCACUGCAUCAUCCAAUAUUAGAUAAAACGACUCCUUCCCAAUUUUCUCAACAAACUUGGACAUUAUAAGCUUCUCCAUCACCUCCAGUCUUGGGUUUACGAACAAAACCUACACAAUAAGGGGAUGGAAAAAACAACAUAAAUCACUUAAACAGAUUCGUUUAUACACAAAUCAAUUUUGGAGGAUCUACUCAAACGACUUGAAAUCCAUGUGAUACCUUAAUUCCAUUCUUUCCCAAUAUUAUAAUUAACUCGUCCAAUGCUUUAAUAGCAGUUGUAUCAAUGGCUGUCACUCCUGUAUAAUAAAAUCAAGGAAAACUUUAUACACGUGUAUAAUAACCAUAAUUUUUUUUUUCAUAUAAACUGCAUGAUCCAAGAGAAUUCUCAACAUUGUAUACAAAUUUUCUAUCUUAAUAUUAAUUACCUGACAAAUCAAGUAUGAUGUGCUCAACUACAUCUCCAGUAGAGCUUUCCUCACUUCGAAUGUACCUCAUAAUCCUAAUGCAAAAUUCCAGAAAAAAAUUAGAAUGUUCAAUUGGGAUGCAUCGUGUUUGUCGUGGACCAUUAAUAACUGUGAGCAAGAAUGGAUCCAAGGAGACAAGCACGGACCUUGACCUCCUGCCUUAGGGCUCUUUGUUUAUAUAUGAGAAAAAAAUUAUCAAAAUUAAAAAAAAAAUAUUAAUCAAGAGAAAUAUAUCUAUCCAUAGUAAAAGAAAUUGUUCCCGGAUCCGUCGUCCUGAGUGUGAAUAUCCAUAAUUUACCUUUCUUUGACGUAUAAAGAAUUUGCAAAGUAAACGGGAGAACCAAGUUGUACAACAAGAACUCCUGGGUAUGUUAAUACUUUAUAUUGCUUCGUGUCUCUAUAUAAACCAAUUUCAGGUAACUUUCCAAGCUUGCAUGACGCAGGUCUAGCCACAUACAUAAGUGCUCUAAGAAUGCCGAGUCCAACCUUGACAUUGCAAAUAGAAUAGAAUAAUCGAUUAAAAUUAACAAAUUAAAUCGAUAAUUAAAAAAAAGAAUUAAUUGAGUACUCACAGACAGCAUGAGGCCAAUAUCCAUGCUUACUAAGAUAACUCCAAGGAAGGCAACCAUGCAAAUAACAAAGUCAAACUUGUCAACUUUGUAGAGAUGGAUGACUUCUUCGAAAGGAAUGAGCCCAAGCAUGGCAGAAAUAAUAAUAGCUGAAAGGGCAACAAGAGGGGUGAAGCCAAAUAGUGGCGCCAAAAAUAGUAGUGCGAGUGCCACUAUUAUUGCCUGUACCACGUUUGCCAUCGCAGUUUUACACCCUGCGUUGUAAUUCACCGCAGUCUUGGAAAAUGGUCCUACAAAUAUACAAUUAAGGACCAAACAUAUAUUUAUUAGCAUAUACUACUAUUACCUAGGUACCCAAAAAUAUUCAUCCAAUAAGAAAUAAGUUUUUACUUUGUUAAAAUUUAUUUUUUAUAAAAAUGAAAGGAGGUGGUAACAUAUAGUAUUUUUCCUAUUAUUAAUGGGACGGUUGUUAAUUCGUGCNNNNNNNNNNNNNNNNNNNNNNNNNNNNNNNNNNNNNNNNNNNNNNNNNNNNNNNNNNNNNNNNNNNNNNNNNNNNNNNNNNNNNNNNNNNNNNNNNNNNCCGGACAAGUCAUAAGGCCGAAAGCGAUCAUCUCUUGUUCCCAUCAUGAGGUGUAUAUCAACAACAGCAAAGCUUCUUCCUAUUGCUAUUCCUUCCUAAUAAAAUUAAGUAAAUGAUAAAUAAAUAAAUAAAAUUGAAAAAAUAGUAUUGAAGAUGAUGAUUGGUUGGAACUAAUUGGUUGCUUACCGCUAAUGACAACACCCCUGUGAUAAGACCAGCUUGCAUAACUGCUGGUAAAUAUUUAGAAUUAAAGUUCAGAUAGUGGAUGGACAAGGGAUUUAGUCCUUUAUCUAGAUGGCCCACCUAUAUAAUUAAUCAACUUCAUACAUAAGAAAAAAAAUGAAAUUAUGGUAUAUAAGAUUCUUAGAAAGUUUACUUAAAAAAAUAUUAGAAAGUGAAAAAAAAAAUAAUUAUAUCUAACUCACAAUUUGAAUUCCAUGAUCUUGGCCCUUGACGAGGUAGGUGAAAACCCCAGAAACUACUAAAGUCACCAUUGGAGCUAUAGCCGUUACCCAAAAGAGUUUUGGAUUCUUAUUCCUCUGAAAAAUUAAUUGUAUCAAAAGGUGAAAUAAUCUAUUAGAAUAAAUUAACUUUGAUACACGUAUUAACUUAAUUAAUUAAAAAAAUACCAAUAGUAUAUAUGAUGAAAUACCAAGUAUGUCUUUUGUGAAAUAUUGCUACAUUUUCUUUGUCUAACGUGACUUUACUACUACUCUUUUAGUAUUCUUGCUAUAAUUAUUAUAUUCAUAAUCUGUUGAUAUUGAAAUUCUUAAUGUCAAACAAGGUUGAGUGGGGCACUAAAAUUCUUCUCACUCCACUUUUCCUUGUUCUUUAUCAAAAUAUUUUCCUUGUUCUUUAUCAAAAUAAAUAUAUGGAAAAGAGAAAGCUGAAAUGAGAAGGACUAUAUCUUCCGAUAGAGCACGUACUCACCAGGUGCUUGGUAAAUUGCAAGAAAGCAACCAAGAUGACGCCAAGAACCGCAGGUUCCCACCUAAUCUGUUAAAUAAAUCAAAAAAGAAGUUCACCUACGUUAUUUCCAAAUUAUAUAUAGAAAUAACAAUUUUCUUUUUCUAAAAUAUGAAUUAGCAUGAGGACUGUUUCGAUGAAACAAAAGAAAUUAAAAGGGAAAAAUAGAAUUAAUGAAAAAUUGGUCAAGUCUUUAUACAAGAGUCAUGCAUGUUAAUUAGUGUGUAUUCUAUACCAUUUGUUGUGUAGGCCCUUAGGUCCUGACACAAGGUUAGAAUUAUAGUUCUUCUAAAGUGGUAUUUCACCCAUGGCUUUGGCCCGUAGAAGGUGGCGUUCUUUGCCCUCCACAUAAGCUGUACUGGAAAAGUCCAAAACCAAUCUUAGGAAACAGUGAAGUUUCAUGGGAUUUUUCUGUCUAGGUGUAGGUAAUUUGCAUCUUCACAGACAGAAUGGAAGAAAAGUAAUGAAACCCGCUGAACAUACAACUUGUGGUACGAACUUCAUGCGGGAUGUUUCCGAGCUAGAUUGCAAAACUGAAAGCCGGGGGGAGGGGUUUGUUUAACAUCAAGACUCUGGCAGAUCUUUCAUCUUGAUGGGCUAUUCUUCGCAUAGUGAGGCGUUUUUAAGCCAGUGAAAGUAUUUUUUAUGAUAUUAUUGGCCCAUACGAUUUUCCCUAUCUAAAUAAAGCAAGUUUUCCAUGAAGAAGAUUUGAUGAAACAUGUUUUAUUCUAUAAGGAUAGGAGAACCUGAUUCGAUUUUCUUAAAAAAAAUAAAAAAAUUAGAAUCAAGUCAAGAUGACACGGAUCAAUCCCUCCUCUUGCGUUCUUGGGCCAAAGAUUCGAGCCCCAUCAGUACCAAUUGAUUCAACCCCCAAAAAAGACAUCCAGAUGAUAAUAAAAUAUAGAGAUGCAAAAGUUAUUCUUUUUGGUUAUAAUGCUAAAAUCUCAUGUCCUAGGAUUACUAGUUUAUUUAAAUGUUUCUGGUCAAAUUAUCAGUGCCCUUAGUGAUUAAAUUUAUUAGUUAUGCGUUAUACUUUCAUGUGCGUUGGUGAAGAUAAAAUAUAUAUAAAUGAAUAAUUAUUAAAAAAAAACUACUCCUAUAAAAAAUGAUGGGCACAUAUGUGCGUGUGGGUAAGUGAGAUAUUGCAACUUGAUCGAUGCUUCUAUUCAAAGAAGCUACAAUUGAGUUGAGAUAUCAUUAUCAUUUUUUAGGGGGAACUAUCCUUAUAUGCAAUAAUUGGAUUUCGUAUGGCAACCUUUUACUAUUUUGAUCGGUCAAGCCAAAAUAAAGGGGCACUAAUUUCAAUUUGUUCUAUACUAACCUCGUGUCUAUUGCGGACAAUGCUCUUCACCACUUCGACCAUGUUCGAUUUAGUUGAAAAAUGUUUCAUUCCAAAUACGCCCUUUAGUUGUUGGAGGAUGAGAGCUACUGCUGUCCCUCCGAUGAAGCCAUUAAUGGUAGCAUGGGAAAAGAAGUCCACCACUAUCCCCAGCCUACAAAAAGUUUCCUCAUUCUCAUCACCCACCACACAAAAAUAGAAUGAAACUUAUUCAGUUGCAUUCAAAUUAAACUUGUAGUAGAGGUUUGGGUAAUUUGUAUAAAAUUCUAAUUUCAAGAUAAAUUAUUACAUAUAAUCUCAAAUCACAAACGUGUUUAUUAAAAAAUAAAAAAUCACACAUGUGUCAUGACCAAUCUUCACACAUGAUAAUUGAAAAUUUUAAUUUACCAAAGAAAUUGAUAACUUUGAAUUAACCUAGCCAGUGGUAUGCAUGAGUUAUUAGCUGUUGGAGCAUAAUAAAUAAUUUUCUUCAGUUUGAGGCAACAUGGUUAUUGGAUAGCCAGCUACAUAUUUUUUCUUUGUUAGUUUUAUUUUGCUUUCUUGGUGCCAAACACAUCCCUAACCGAUGGAAUCACUUUUCAUGGCCAGGCCCACAUGAGAGGGUGGUUUAAGGUAAAUGAAUUUGUUCUUACCUAAAUAAUCCCAAACAAGCCUGGAAAACACCGGUGAUAAAGGUGGUGGUGAAAAUCAAAUGAAGAUACAACGUUGGAUCUUCUACUGGGUCUGCCACGGUUUGUAUGGUUUGAGCAAUAAGCAACGAUGCUCCUGCUAUCGUCCCGACUGCCAUGUGCCUUGAACUCCCAAAAACAGCAUAGAUCAAAGGUGGGACAAAGCUGGAAUCUGAUAUAAAAAAAAGUCAAAUCAAAACAUAUCACUUCAGAGAUAUGAGAUAUAAAGUAGAUUAAAUGAUUAAGAAAAACAUUUGAUUCUUUUUACUAACAAAAACUAAUAAUAUUAACAAUUAUAUAAAAAAAAUCAGUUCAUCGAAAACAAGUACUUAUAACCUUAAAAAUCGAAUAACUAUAUAGCCACUCUUUAUAUCACAAGGAAAAACUGUCAAAGGAAGUACGUAAAUGUCUAAGCACCCAGAUAAGGGAUUGAAUCAAUCAUAGACAAAGAAGAGAUAAAAAUUUAUUAAUCUAUUAUCUUUUGUUGAUAAAAUUCACACACAUUCAAUCCAUGAACCAUGUGCACAAAUUUACAAAGGAUGAAGAAAAUCAAUUAUUAUUAUUAUUAUUUUCAUUUCUACAUAUAUUUUCUUUGGGAGGCAAUUGUGAUCGGAUACUAAGUCUGGUCAAACAUAAUUGCUGUCGAAUGCGGAUACUGAACAAAGAAAAUCAAUGGUUUAAGGAGUAUGUACUAGAGUAUAGAAAUAAGAAAGCAAUUAAUAUUGCAUAUGUUGAGACAGACAUUAUAUGAAUGUGUAGGCAAAAGUGAUUAAAUGCAAAAGAUGAUGAUGCCAAACACGCUAAUUAAGUGCAAAGAGGUGAAAUAGUGAUUCUUACAAAGGCCAACGAGGGGAGGAAGGUCAGCAAGUUUGGCAUAACUAAUGCCCUGAGGGAUAGCAAGGCUUGAGAUGGUUAGGCCAGCGAUCAAGUCAGAGACAAAGAGGCGCCAAUUGUAAGUAGGGAGCCACUCAAAGAUUGGGAUGUAGUAUUGCACCCCUUUCAUCACUCUCCGCAUUGGCUUCUGCUCCUUCUUGAACUGCCUGAAGGGGUCGUCCGGAAACAACGCUUCCUUCAACGCCUCCUUCAGUUUCGUCCCAAACCCUCUCUGGAUCGAGAAAUUCACCCCAUUAUCACCACCAUCCUCAUGGUGCUGAUUAUGAUUUUUAACCUCGCUGUUACCAAUGGAACCCAUCGUACUAACAACAAUAGCAACAACAACAGAUAUCAGAUAUGUAUGCAUGUAUGUGCACACUACUAAAGUGGAGUUUAAGAGGGUUUAUGAGAAAAUAAAUAACUACUUACAAGAUGGUACUACUUACUUGUUUGUGUUGGACGCCUGGUUGCAAUGAGUAUAUAUAGGCUCUAGUAGUGGCAACUAUUUCGGGGUAAAUGGCAUUACAGUGGAUUCUAAGUCUUCAAAUUGGAAGACCUUCAAGGCAUCUUUGGUGUUUUGGGGCUUUUUUUUUUUUAAUAAAAAGAAUAAAAUUCUUUUGCUUUGGACAAUUGGGAGAAAUUCGAGAAUGCGGAAUUUGAAAUGGUUUUGGAUCAAAGUUUAACGUUGUUUCUUAUACUGAAAUUUUUUUGGGAUAUAAAAUAUUUUAAUAUUUAUAGAAAUGAAAAGUAUAUUUUAAUCUAAUAGUUAUAAAUUAAAUUAUAGAAUAAUUAUCAUUUUAAUAUUUUUGAUAUUACAUUAAUUAUUUUUAUUCACUAAUAUCUCUUAUAAUAUUAAUGAUAAAAAAAUUAAAUAUGAAUUAAUGAUGAUAAGAUUAAAUUAAUUUGUAUAUAAUUAUUAUUAUCUUUCAUUCAUUUAUUAUUUUUAUAGCUUUAUAUAAAAUAAUAUAAGAUAACAAUUUAUUUCGAAUAACUAUGUAUUAUUUGAAAGAAUUUAUUAUUUAUGGGAGAUGAAUUUGCCCCACUCUAAUGCGUCGCUUGAAUUGUCUUGAGAUCGAAUUUGGCUUUUAAUUAAUUACAAGUCUUUUCGUGUGGCGAAUGGCGAAGUCAUUUUUUUUUUAUUAAGAUAUUAUACUCUAUAUAUUUAUCAUUUAAAUGAUAUUGUUUUAAAGCUAUUUUAUUAUGUUGUGUUUCUUCGUCGAUACAUACACAUAUAUGUAUUUAUGGUAUCUCUGGAUUGAUUGUGAAAGAGAAAACUUUAAUAAUUAUAUAGUCAACUUUUAAAACUCGAUUUAAUAAAAUUUAUGUUUAAAUAUAAUUUAACCAAUGAGCUAUUAUUAGCAUUCUUGUUGGCAAAUAUGAGAAGCAUUGGGAACUUUAAUUCCGUAUGUCAUUUCCUGUAAAAAUAAAAGAUAAAAAAUUCCCUAUUCCAUUUUGAAAGAGUUUAAUAACCUUAUAUCACAAUUCAAAUUACUUAUUAUAAUUUAUAUAUUCAAAAUAUUUUUUUAUUCUGAUUUUUAAUUAUAAUAUGAUAUAUAUUUGAAAAUAUUCAUUUAUUAUGAAAUUUAGUAAUAUAAAAAUAUAUUUGUCAAAUGCAAUGACUUUUACCGAUAAUUUCCCUUAAUUUAUUUUAAUAACUUUACAGUUAAACUUAUAAACACUUUUUUUUAUUAAUUUCGUAAGAAUUUUUUAAAAAUAUUUUAUUAAAUUAUUUAGACCAAUUACAAUUUGAAUCUCCAUUAGAAAUAUAUAGAUUUAGUUUCUAACAACGUCUUUCAAGUAAAAUUCCUCCGAGAAAAAAAAGUAUCAUAUUUAUUACUCUCUCAUAUUCAACUUGAGUAUUUGAUGUGACAAAUUUUUUUGUUAGAACAUGUUGUUUAAUUUAUUGGAUUUACUUAUAAUUUGUAAUUAUUAUUGAUUUAAGAGAAUUUCAUAUCCAACUAAAUAGAUCAUUUCGUCUAGUAUGAAUGCAAUAGAUCUUGAUAUCACUAUGUUAACUCUCUAAGUAAUUGGAUUAGAUGAUAUGUGUAAUUUAUAAUAAAAUAUAAUAUGAUAGUAAUAAAUAUGUAUAAUUAAUUAGUCAUAUUAAUUAUAAACAUAAAAUUAAAUUAUUGUCUUAUAAAAAAACAAAUUUUUUGUUAUACCCGCAUAUACGGAUAGAAACUAAAUGAAUUGGAUCCUACUUAAGUUUGGCCUAACUCACUUUAUACUUUUAUAACUCAAACUUAUAUAUGUCAUUUGUCAUGAGUUUAUUUUUUAAGUUUGGAUCCAGCCUUUAUAUAAGUUUCAUCUAACCUGUUAAUUUAUUUAAAGGUUUAUUUCAUAUUAAAAAAUGUAAAAAAUAUUAUAUAAUAAUAAAAUUACUAUGCAUUAAAAUAUUAGAGUGUGAAAUAAUAACUUACAUGUUAUUCUUACGUUGUCCAAAAUUCGAUGCCUUGUAUUCAUAUCUAUCUUUUUUCUUUAACAAAGCUAAGAUGUUAAUUAAAAACAAUGACACAUUUUAAACUGCAAAAUUGGUUAAAACUUGCCUUAAAACCCAAAAGAAAAUACUCUGAUUCCUGUCCCUAUCUAUGCUUAUAGAAAUUACCAUAUUUUAACAUUAAAAUGAUUCUAAUAGUCAAACUACUAAAAUAAUUUAUAAUAGAAUUAAAAUAAUUAUGAUAUUGCAUAUCAUAUAAAUAAUAAUAUUUUAUUAAAAUAUAUUUGUUAUUAAAUAAACACACAUGCGAGACUUAAUAGCCAUUUUUUAAGAUUUGUGAUUUGAUCUAUUUUAACUAAAAAAAUUAUUUAAAAAAUUUGAGUCUUUUUUUCUCCUAAAUGAAUGAAAUCAAUCCAAACUUUAAACGGACUGAAACAUAGUUGUCUAACGGAGAGCCUAACUUACCUUCGCCCCUACCCACAUAUUUGAUUGUUACUAUUAGAACUUGUAAUUGAUCUGACACGUAAAAAUUAGUAGAAAUGUGUCCAAAUUAAUUUUUUUUUUUACUUACAGAAUCAAAAGAUAUUGAACUUACGUACUUGGAGAGAAAGUAUAACCAUGCAUUAACCAGUCAAGUUUCCUUUCACUAUCAUUUUUAGUGGAAAAUUAUGCCGCGACAUGUGCGAGGUUAUUAAGUAUAAGUAUCAUCUAUUAUAAAAACAAAAUAAUUAAAUUAAAUGGUCGAUUCUAUUGAUAAAUUAGUUAAAUUGUUUUAUAAGUAUAUAUAUAUAUAUAUAUAUAUUAACAUAUACACAAUUAUUUAUUAUUAUGAAUAUAUUAGCAAGCUAUAUCAAUUUUUUUCCUUUUCAUCUUAUUUUGUUCCAUCUACCUAUAGUAUCCACCCUAAAAUAGAAAAUAUUGUGUGAUCCUAACCCACUUCCUUUUAAUAGUAUGAGACUGUUUUGGACGAAACUUUUAGGAGUCGUUGUCAACGUCGAAUGAUACAGUUUCUUUUUAUUAAUUCUAUCUAUUUUUAUAAAUUUAAAACAACUCUCUCAUGUUAUUGAUUCUGUACACAGUUCUCUUUUGGAUCCUUGAUCUUUUCUUGUAUACAAGUUCUAGGUACAAGGUACCUAGUAAUCAAUUAAUAUAUUUCUUAUUCGCUGAUAAUAAAAAAAGAUUGUCUAAUUUCGUACAAUAUAAUGAUAUGUAUUCAUCUUUCAAUUUAAAAGUUUAUUAGUGUGAGGGCAGAGGGCUUAUGAAUUAUGAUGUAAUUAAAGUUAAAAGUAAAUAGCCUAUAUAUUAUAAUGUAAAGAAAAGCAUUCAAGAAGAAGAAACAAAGAGAGUAAAGAUAUGUAUUACAAAUUUGUUAAUUUAUGUAUAAUAAUAAUUAUUUUAAAACUUUAAUUAAAAUGAAUUUUUUUAUUAAUUGUUAUAUAUAUAUAUAUAUUAGAAAUUAAAAAUUAGUAAAUUCUAAAAUUAAUUUAGUCUCGAUUGACAAACACUAACUGUAAUGCAUGCACACCAUAAAGAAGCAAACAUGGCGGUGAGGGAAGCCAGCCUUUUGUCGACAAAGUUGAAGGCAGAAGAAUUUAAGGUAACCUAGAUAUAUGUGAUGAUCACAUCAAGGAAAGUAGUAAUAAUGCCUUCGAUCACUAGACAUACAUUAAUCAUUCUACAGCUAUAGUGGGACUCUUCGGANNNNNNNNNNNNNNNNNNNNNNNNNNNNNNNNNNNNNNNNNNNNNNNNNNNNNNNNNNNNNNNNNNNNNNNNNNNNNNNNNNNNNNNNNNNNNNNNNNNNUAUAUAUAUAUAUAUAUAUAUAUAUAUAUAUAUAUAUAUAUAUAUAUAUAUAUAUAUAUAUAUAUAUAUAUAUAUAUAGAUAUAUAUAUAUAUAUAAAAAUAUAUAUAUUUUUUGUAUUGUAUACAUAUAUAUAUAUAUAUAUAUAUAUAUAUAUAUAUAUAUAUAUAUAUAUAUAUAUAUAUAUAUAUAUAUAUAUAUAUAUAUAAUUAAUAAUAAAUAUUAACAAUAUGGAUGUAAAUAAAGAAUAUUCAGUUUGAUAAUUUUUAUGUUUUGAAGGUUAGUUUUAUAAUUUUUUGCUAUGAGUAUAUUUUACUUUCAGAAAGAAUAUUCAUAUGUGGUUGUAUUUAAAAUUGUAAAGUGUGAUUAACUAACCAUAAUCAAAUGUAACUAGGAUGACAAUGAGUAGGACUCCUGUAGGGUCUUAUAACACUCAUUCUCAUAUUUGUGUUUGAAACCAAUAAUCGUAGUCAAUCCUAUAUGUUUAAACCUUUGACUCGUACUUUAUUUGGGUAUAAAAUUAAUAAUAAAUCAAUAAAAAAAUUAUUAAAACAAUUUCUACAAUUAUAAUAAAAGUUUAGUCAUUUUUAAAUAAUUCAAACACAAUAUUAAAAACAUACAUACAUAAUAUUAAAAACAAACAUAAUAAUAAUUUGUUAAAAACAAACAUAAUAAUAAUUUGUCUAAACUCAAAUUAUAAAUAAAUAAAAUUAUAAAAAUAAUCAUUUAACAUAGGAAUAGUUAAAGAUUAUGUUUUAACCACUUGACAAAAAGAUUAAUUAAAGAUUUAUGAUUUUUCACUUUAUAAAAAUCGUUCAACAUAAUGAUUUUGAAUUUUUCACAUACUUUCUGAUAAUAAUAGUGUUAGAGAUUAAAAACUUAAAGUAUUAGUCAUAAAAAAAUAUAAUCAUUUUCACAAAAAAAUUAUAUAAAUAAUAUACAUUUUAUAACAUAUAUUAAUUAUACUUCUAUAUAUAUGUGUAUGGGCGUGGAGGGAGGAAUGGAUUGGAUACUAUAGUUGGGUGGGGUGGGUAAUAACUUACAACAUUUUCGUUAUGUAUUUCAUACAUCACAUGUAUAAUGGAAAUAAUUUUUUGUUGUAUAUUUAAUUUAUUCUUUUAUUCCCAUGUAUUGGUUAUUUUUUUAUUAUAAUUUAAUAAUAUUUUUAUCAGUUGAAUAACUUGCAAAUAACAUAUUGAUUAAUUCAGUUAAUUUUAAUGUUUAAUUUUUAGUUGCUUUUCAAUAGUUGAAUAACUUGAUAGUCUAGUUUCAAAAUAGCGUUUAAAGGAUUUUUUUUCUUAUUUUGUUCAUAAUAAUCAUGAUUAAAACUCUUUUUCAUAGAGUAUUGAUUUGUCUCCAAAGAGGUAAUGAUUAUAUUUUAUGAAACUGGCAAUGUGAAUAGAGUACUUAAUUUGAAUCAGGGAAAUUUCGUAGACUGACUGGUUGCCUUUGGGGUUUACUCUUUCUAAUAAAUUUUAUUUUGCUAAUAAAAAAAGUAUAAGUAUUUUAAUUCCCAUAAAAUACAAUGAUAAAGACUAAAAUUGAUAUCCAUAUAAAGUAUAGCUCGGAAUAGUUUUUUGUUUAUAUAUAUAUAUAUAUAUAUAUAUAUAUAUAUAUAUAUAUAUAUAUAUAUAUAUAUAUAUAUAUAUAUAUAUAUAUAUAUAUAUAUACACCAAUAUAGAUAGGGGUAUUACUAUAUAUACUUUACUCAUAUGUACACAUAUGUCAUCCAUGAUGAUAUAGGAAAAAAGUGCUAUACAGAGAGAGAGAGCGUGCAUGUGUGUGAAGAAUUGUGUAGGGAAAAAAAGAUGAGAGAGAGACAACCACCCCCCUUUUGCCCACAAUCUUUAAUAUAAAACUUUCUCCUGCGCAGAUGUAAUGAUUUCCGGUCUAUUGUGUGUUGUCUUUCAAAUAGAUGUAGCACUAGUAGGCGAAAAAUAUUCAAAAAACUAUAUACGGGCGUGUUAUAUAUAGGGCUCUCGUGCAAAAAAAAAAAAAAAAAUAUCCGUGUAUAGUUUGUUGGGANNNNNNNNNNNNNNNNNNNNNNNNNNNNNNNNNNNNNNNNNNNNNNNNNNNNNNNNNNNNNNNNNNNNNNNNNNNNNNNNNNNNNNNNNNNNNNNNNNNNNNNNNNNNNNNNNNNNNNNNNNNNNNNNNNNNNNNNNNNNNNNNNNNNNNNNNNNNNNNNNNNNNNNNNNNNNNNNNNNNNNNNNNNNNNNNNNNNNNNNNNNNNNNNNNNNNNNNNNNNNNNNNNNNNNNNNNNNNNNNNNNNNNNNNNNNNNNNNNNNNNNNNNNNNNNNNNNNNNNNNNNNNNNNNNNNNNNNNNNNNNNNNNNNNNNNNNNNNNNNNNNNNNNNNNNNNNNNNNNNNNNNNNNNNNNNNNNNNNNNNNNNNNNNNNNNNNNNNNNNNNNNNNNNNNNNNNNNNNNNNNNNNNNNNNNNNNNNNNNNNNNNNNNNNNNNNNNNNNNNNNNNNNNNNNNNNNNNNNNNNNNNNNNNNNNNNNNNNNNNNNNNNNNNNNNNNNNNNNNNNNNNNNNNNNNNNNNNNNNNNNNNNNNNNNNNNNNNNNNNNNNNNNNNNNNNNNNNNNNNNNNNNNNNNNNNNNNNNNNNNNNNNNNNNNNNNNNNNNNNNNNNNNNNNNNNNNNNNNNNNNNNNNNNNNNNNNNNNNNNNNNNNNNNNNNNNNNNNNNNNNNNNNNNNNNNNNNNUAUUAUGUGAGACUGUACAGAAUUUGGAGUAAAUAUUUUAGCAUCAGUUUAUAGAAUUUUUAUGCUAUAAUUUAAUUAUAAAUAAUUAUUUAUGAUAGUUUUUUAAUUUGAUGCAUGACUUUUUUUUCUCCUUUGAUUACCAAACUAACCUUAUAAUUUUUAUAUUAAAAGUCAUAUUGAUAAUUACUUUUGAUUUAUUAAUAAUUUUUAUAUUAAUAGUGCGUAUUAAUCUUUAAACUUGAAAUUUUUUACAUUAUCAUUUAACAACAAAUUUAAAUAUAUAUAAUAAGUUUAUUAGUUUUUAUAAUAAUUAUCUUAAAAAAUAUAUUUAUUAUAAUUUUUUAUCCUCUAAUUUAUUAUUUAGGUUCAAUUUAAUUAUUUAUAUUUUUAUUUAUUUUGGUUUUUUAAUUUUUUAAAUCGAUUCAAUUUAAUUAUGUCAUUUAAAUUAAAUUGAUGGUGUUAUCAAUUAGAAAGUAUCAUUUCUUAUCAUCAUUGACAUAUUUUAGACGAUAGGAUUAAAUUGAAUUGAUUUUAAAAGUUAAAUAACUAAAUUGAAUUGAAAAAAGUUAGAAAAUUAAAUUCGAUAUGAAAAAUAAAUCAGUGAAUAAACUAAUUUAACCUUUUUUUUUAUCCGCAAUAUAAUUUUUUUAACUAGAUAGAAAUUAAAAUCUUAAUAGCAUAAAGUUGUACAAAUAUUUUUAGAAUUUAAUUUAAAUAUACUGAUAGGGUAUUUUUUACACCGCCAUUCCAUAAUAAAUUAUUAUUUAUGGUAGGAUUGGUGAUUUUUAUAAUCAGAACCGCUAUUUAGCUUGAAAAAAAUAUGUCACGUAUUGCACGAAAUUCAAAUCUCAAAUAACAAUAUUUUUUAAAAUAAACAUUGAUUUUUUUACAAGAUAAAUAUUGAUUAAAAAUAGAAUUAUAGAAACAUAUAUAAAAUUAUUUUUAACAGAAAUCACCCUUCCUGUCAUUAUACGAAAAAUAUUUUCGUACCAAAUAAUUUUUUUGUUUUUUACAAUAAUUAUUUUAAAAAUCAUAACUAAAUUUAUUUGUAAUUAAUUAAGAGUGGAAAAAUCUUUAUACUAAUUAUAAUAGAUGAAAAUUAAACCCACAUUAUUAUUUUUGAAUUAAUAUGAUAUUAAUGCAAAAUAAUCAUUAACGAUUUUUAUUAUUAUUUUUUGUUGAUAAAUUUGACUUGAUAUUUAGUGAGUUUUAUUGUUUCAAUAAUUAUUUUUUUCAUCUAUCACACUUAAGUACGAGAUUUUACUUAAAAAAUUUGAAUUUAAUGUCACUCAACCCGACCAUAUAUUGAUAAACCUGUGUUACUAUGCCUAUCUUUACAAUUGAGGAAAAAAAUUCCUAUUGUUACCGAAUAUUUAUGUAAUGCUAAAUUAUUAUUAAGUUUAUAACUUAUAAUUUGAUUCCAUCAAAAAAUAACUUAUACCUUUGAUAUAUUCUUUGCAAGGUAAAUGCUUAUUCAUUAAUAUGCAAGGUAAAUAAUUAUUUAAUAGUACUUUUUUGUUUUUUCUUUUAUCAUUAGAAAUCAAAGACAAUAUUAAAAGAGUUACACUCAAGCACCUGACCUAUUCAGUUAACUGAACUAGAUUUUUUUGGUGUAUUUUUUUUUAUCGAUUAACUAAUUAAAACAAUUACAGAAUGUAAUUAUUUUUUAUGUAGGGAAAAAAAUAUGUUGCUGAAAUACAAUCAUUAUUAUUUGGUUUCCUAAUUAAGGAAAGAUUUGAGAGGAUGAUAAAAUCAUAAAUAUAUCAUUAUCUCCAUUAUAUAAAAUUUGUCUAAAUUAUAAAAUUUAUAUAUAAUUUUGAUAAACUAGUUUCGAGAGAAGUUGAAUGUGUCAUUGAAGGGGUUUAUUUCAAUUGAAAUUGACAAUUUCGAUAACUUCAUUAAGGCAUGUGGAAUUGAAAAGUGCCUAGAAGCAAGAUGUUUUUGAAAAUCGAAAUAUUGUUUGAAGUAGUUACAAAGAAGUUACAUGAAGACACCAAAUAACAUUAUAUCAAUGUGUUUAAGAUAUAUCUUUGUAUCCAUGUCAAAAUUAUGUAAUUCAACCAUUAAUAUUGUAAAUCUAUAAAUAAAAUUGUUGACUAUUAAUUUUGGGUGUUGAUAUAUAAUCAUUUAAUUCCUCAAAAUACCAACACACCUACCAUCGAAAUUGACAAAUAUUCAAGUGAUCAUUGUGUAUGUAUUAAAUUAUUUAUUUUUAUGAAUUCAUGUCUAUUUAUUUUAUUGUAUAUUUCUAAACCCUUGACUUUUUCCAAUUUUCAUUUCUUUUCAAAACUUUAGUUUUUUGGUCUCUAUUUCUUAUUAUUAUUGAAAUUAUUUAUAAACUAAUUACUGAAUAAAAACACUUUUAUCAAAAGUUAUUUUAUUUUCUUAUAAAUUAUAAUUUUAUUAUAAUUCAAAUGGACCUAUUUAUCGAGAUUAUAAUCGUGAUUUAUAUCAAAUAUUAAGUAAUUCUCUAUUAAGCUGAAAACUAUAAACUUGUUUGUUUAACCAAAAAGAACAUAAUGAAAAUGGAUUAUAUGUCUCACUUUUAAACAUUUAUUUGUUUAUAGAAUCAUUUGGUGAAAAUUCCUUUAUCUUGAAAAUAUUUCCCUUUUGAAAAAUAAAUACAAUUUUCACGAUUAGCACAUGUAUCAAUAAAUAUAUAUUUCAUUCUAGUAUUAAUAUAUUUCAUAAUCUUAAUUAACCACAUUGAUUAUGCCUUGAAACAUAUUAAAAAAACAAUUACUACUGAAUUUUAAUUAUUUGGAUUUAUUUUGUUAACAAUUAUUGUAUUUAGAUAUAUUAUAUAAAAAAUUAUUAAAUUUUGCAGAAAUUAUUUUAUAUAUUUACUUUAAUUAUACGGUAUGAAUAAUUUUUUCUUUAUAAGAAAUAUUUGUUUUACAAUUAUAAAAUUUAUAUAUUAAAUUUUAAUCUGUGCAAUUCACACAAUAAAAUACUAAUUAUAAUAAUUUUGACGUUAACUUUAUUAAAAAUAAAAAGAACCAUCGUUUUCCUCAACUGUAUUAUCAUACAUGAUGCACAAUACAUAACUUUUUUGUUGUGUGUGUGUGGUGUAAGCAAAUCCCUUAAUAAUAUCUUUAUUCUUAUGAUCUUUAAUUACACAACUCCUAAACUUUAUAAUUUUGCCGCACCCCUGCAUUGCGCGUAAAUUUGAAGUUGGAAAUGUCCAAAUUAAUUUCUUCCAUUAAUGGAAUUGUGUGGACAAGUAGAAAACAUACUUUUCCGUAAGAAAAUUUCUUAUUUGUCAAGAUCAAUACAAAAUAAAACACAAAAAGUAACGGACCUUUUUCCCUUAAAAUCGUAGAAAAUGAACAUAUCCAUUGCACGAUCCAAUAUAUGGAAUGAUGACAUAGAAAGUAAGGUUUUGCUGCCAUAAACUAGAAACACAGUCUGAUCCAUAAACAUGCAUAUUAAUUAAUUCUCCUAGCUUACACCGAUGCGCGCAACUAAUUGGAAGAAAAAACGGCUUGUUCAUAAUAUAAAAAAGUCCAUUUAUAAGAUAGCGGAUCUGCGUUUGCAUGAAUAUAUUGUUGUAUCUUCAUCAAUUUAAGACAGUGAUUUUUAUCCGAAAAAAUUUGUUGAAAACUUCAAAUUAAUUGAUGUCCUAGCUAGCUUUAUAUGUGAUAUAUCUCUAUCUAUAUAUUAUCGAGAAACUCUCGUGCGCCCAUGCAAAACCGGCCUUUGGUGGGGGCACACGCAUACACACACAGCCUUUUGUGACUUUGACUCAUGGCGGUACCAAAAGGUCAAAAUUAAAUACAAGUUUGCCUCAUAUUGUAACUGUAUAGCUACUAAGUGGAGUGGAGGCAAAAUAGAUGUUGAGUACUUGAAGAAGAGGGCUAUGGUUGUAUUUAUAAAUGUGGAAUAGUGGCAUGUUUAUUUAAUUUAAUAGUUAAGUGGUGUCAUUCUUUGGAGUUUUCUCAGAAUGAUUUGAGGAAGAGUUUCACAUCAUUAAAUAAUUUAGUGAUUUCAAAGAUUCAAUAUUCAACGUGUCUCUUAGGCAGGUGAGUUUGAAGCUCUAGGUGAUGUGAUUAUUGUGGUUGGACAAACAAGUUAUUCUUGGGCAAGGUUGUCCAUGUGCAAUUCAAUUCCGUUCUUGAAAAAAAUAGAAUCAGCAACAAAGGAUCGUCGAUCGCCUACAUCACUUUGUUGUUUCUACACAAAAUCUUUCAAGAUUGUGACACUAGUUAAUGCGAUGAACUUUGCUUGGGAGCAGUAAGGUCCGAUUUCAAUCUUGUAGUGUGAUCUUGUCUCGUGUUCUUGGUUAUUAUGUACAUUACUGCUACGAGAUCUGAGAGAAGAUUCACACUUAUUAUUUUCAUCAUCACAUUUAUAUAAUAUUAAUUGUCAUAAAAUAAUAUAUGAAAAUGGAAUCCAACUUAUUUUUUGAAUAUUCAAUCAAAUCUUAAACUAGAAAUAGAUAUAUCAUAUAUGCACGUAAUUGAAGAUAGCUAGUGUUCUCUUCUCUUGUCGAAUGCAAAACAAAACAUAUGAUCACGUUAACUUCUAGAGUCUAAACACAAUAUACAAAAUAUCUUUGUCUUAUUUUAUUGCAUUUUAUUAAUUUCAUUCUAUUUGCGUGCAAACGUCAGCUAAUGACAUUGGUUAGGGUCGGGUGUUUGUGUCAUGUUUAAGAUUUGAAGGACAAGCAGUGCUCCACUCAAAAUUAUUUCGUUGGUCAGAAAAUUGUAUUAUUUUUUUGUCCCACAUAAAAGCUAGUCACCAAGGCAGCAAAUAAUUUUUCUAAAAACCAUCAAUUAAGACUUAAGAGUGCAUAUGUAGCCUAAUCCUCGAUCUGAAAGCAGAUCAUGAUACGCCUAUACUUCAUUAAUUCUUCAACCACUACUCAAAAAGCAAGUAUCAUUAUUUGCAAAGAAAAAAAAAAUAUCGGGGUUAAUUGCUCUUUUGACAAAAAAUUCUAAGGGGGCCUUUAUGUUUUCUACUUUGGACGGGAACGACACCUUAUUCAGCAGUGAUUUUCAACUAAGUUCUUCAAAACACACGUAUGACCACCAACACCAAAAAAAUAUCAAAAUAGGGGGAAAAAGUGAACGAUUACCCACCUUUAUAAUUAUAAACAUUUUGACUUGUGUGGGUGUAAGUAGAUAUAUAAAAUAAAUAAAACAGAAAGUUGGAAACGUUUUGGCAAGUAGAGACAUUUUUCUAUCAACAAUGGCUUUUCCAACUUAAACAGGAUGGCCACAUGGAAAAUGUACAAAUAAAAAUGUAGCAAUGAUUGAUAAUGAACACGAAAAAAGGAAGUAAUUAAAUAUGGAUUAAAAGCAGAAAUUAAAAGUUGAUAUGAUUAAUUAGGGGUGUAUUUCUUUUAUCUGAAGUGAUAAGGGGACAUUAUUUUUUUAAUUUUUUUUGGCUUAAAUACGUAAUUAUUAUUAAACUCAAUAGACAUACCCUUACCUUGUGUUUGAAUCAAGAAUUUUAAAAUUUCAAGAAAUUUAAAAUGUUUAGAAUUUGAAUUGUUUUGAUUUUAAUUUUCUUCAUUUUUCAAAUGCUUUAUUUGGAUAAAUUAAUUCAAAUUUCUUUAAUUUUUAAAUCCUUUGUUUGGAUAGGGCAAUUCAAUUUUCUCCAUAUGCAAAAUUUCAAUUUUAUAUUUUAAAUAGAUAACAUUUUAAUAUUAAACUUUAUAGAAAAUGAACACAAUCUAAUUUUAAAAUAUUAAUUAAAAUAUAUUUUCAAUUUUUAAUAAUUUAUAAAUAUAAAAUAUUAAUAAUUUUAACUAGGGUUGUUUUGUCUGACCAUAACUAGUGAUGCUUUUAAACUCAUAUCAAUUAAGGCUAUUUUUCAAUCAACAUCAAAUAGGAUUUUUUUUGUCAAAGUAUACCAAAAAUAUUUGUUAGCUGACAUCAGUCAGGGCUAUUUUUUGGCUAACGUUGGUUGAGUCUAUUUUUCAGCCGACGUUGGCUAGAUUUUUUUUACCAACGUCGGCUAGGGUUUGUUUGGCCAAUAUCGGCUAGGAUCUUUUUGAACGACAUUGACCAAGGCUAUUUUUAGCCAACGUCGGCCUAAAAAAUCCUAGCAGGUGUUGACAAAAAAAUCUACCAAAUAUCGACUAAAAAAUAGCUUGAUUGAUGCCGACUAAUAGAACCUACCCAAUGUCGACCCAAAAAUAUCAUUGGUCAACGUUGGCUGAAAAAUUCAUAGUUGAAGUUGGCUAAAAAAUAGCCCUGACAAAUAUUGGAUAAAAAACCCUACCCAACAUCGGCUAUAAAAUAACCUUGGCUGAUGUUGGCUAAAAAAUAGUUCUGACCGAUGUUGAUGGAAAAAACUCUAAUGGAUGUCGACUGUAAGGACCUAGUCGAUUGCAACUAAAAAUAGUCAUGUCCGAUGUCGGUCAAAAAUAUCUAGCUGGUGUUAGCAGAAAAAACCCUAGCCAACAUCAACCAAAAAAACUAGCUAAUGUGAUUAAGAAAUAGCUCUGACUUAUGUCAGCCAGAAAACCCUAGUCGAUGUCAAUAAAAAAAUCCUAACCGACGUCGGUUAAGAAAAUCUAGUUGACAUCAGUCAAAACACCCUAGCUAACAUCGGCUAAAAAAUAACCUUAGCCGAUAUUGACUAAAAAAUAGCUUUGGCUAAUGUUGGCUGGAAAAAUCUAGCUGAUGUCGGUUGAAAAACCCUAACAUGUGUUUACUCAAAAGUUAGUUAUGACUGAUGUGAGUAGAAAAAAUCUAGCCAAUGUUGGUCAAAAAAAUCAUUGGUCAACAUCAACUGAAAAAACCUAGAUGACAACGGCAAAAAAAAUCUUUGGUCGACAUUAGCAAAAAUUUCCUAUGACAGAAAAUAACCCUAACCAACAUCAUCUAAAAAAAAUCUUAGCCAAUAUCAACAAAAAAUAGCUUUGGUUGACAUCAUACAAAAAAAAUUUGACAGAAAAAACUUCGGCCAAUGUAAGUGAAAAACAACUUAUGUUGAUAUCGACCGUAAAAAUUUUAGUUAUCCGUAGUUGUGAGUGUUGAGCAAGAAAGAGUCGUGAACAAGAACGUGAGUUAGAAUGAACAUCUCCAAAAAAAGAAUUUCAAAUUCUAUAUUUUUUGAGAGAAUUUAAAAUUCUACUGUUUUAGUCAAUCAAAAUGAUUCAUAAAAAUACCAAAAAUUAAAUCUUCUUUCAAAUAUUCUAUCCAAACAAGCUAUUUUAUCACGAAUCAUCUUAAAUUCCUUAAAAAAAUAAUUCCCCUUUGUUAUUUUUUUAUACUUAUAUCAUUUGUUAUUAAGUAAUUGUUUAUUAAUUUUAUACUUUUAUAUAUAUACUCAAUAGACAUGCCCUUAAAGUUUAAAAUAAUUUUUGAUUAAUUUACCGUGUAAAAACUUUUGUAUUGACUACUUACCGGGCACUAUCAACUACUAAUAAAUUAACAAAAAGAAAGUUAGAAAAGCAUGGCACCGAGGGAAAAAAACGCCUAUUGUACGUAUCCAUUAAUUCAACCUCUGAGAGUGGAGAUUGACAACAAUUUGCACCAAGCUUGACCCCAAAAAUAAUUCCUUUCUACGAGAUUAUGAGUGAUCCGUACCAGAAAGCCAUGCGUAAUUUUCUUAUUCUCAAUGGCCACUUUUGACCGUGUUACGGUUUAAUGCACCCCGGCCAGCUCCGUUUACUUAUGCAAACAAACAAUAAUACAGUUCAAUGAAACGCGUUUAUUUCAAUAUUCAUUCACUUAAAACUCAAGCUUGUACUCAAUGAGGUUGUGGAUUUAUCUAAAAAAAAUUAAAAGGAGCUUCUCAUUUUUAAACUAGCUAGAUAUUUCGAAAAAGCUAUUGUGACUCAGGUAAUUGUGGUUUCUUUGAAUUAUAUGUUGGGUACGUAGUUUGGGCUUUUGUCAAAAGUAGGUUAUGAAAUCUCGGUCUUCUCAGUAAGAUCCUUUUAUUCUUUCUUACCCAAGUUCUCGUUAAGAUUCAAAUUACUUCUUUGAUAAUACUAUUGGGGAUCUUUCUGAAGUCUUGGAAAUGUAUAACACCUCUUACGGUAUUUGUUAGUGACUGUUGUUGGAUAAAUUACCAAAUUAACUGGAUGUGUAAAAUAUCUGAACUGAAUCAAACUGUUUCAAAAUCAAAAUGAGCAUAAUCAGAUAAACCAACCGUUUUGAGAAAAAUUGAACCAUAAAGCAGUGUAAAAAGGAAAUUUAGACCGAACCAAAAAGAAAUCCGAUUCAUUUUGAGAAAAAAAAAAAAAACCAAACUGAUUACAAACUAUUUUAUGAAAAUGGUUUGAUUUCAACUGAACCAUAAAACGGUUCAGUUCGGUAUUUUUGAGAAAUUCAAAACAUACAUAGGCGUGAAAAAGAAAAUAAAAAAACUGAAUCAAACCGGAUCAAAUAAAAAAAAUCUGAUAUGAAAUAACAUAAUUAAAUUUGAUCAGAACCGUUCUUUUGAGUUUUUUACAAUUGAUGGAUUCAAUCAUAUUCCAUUCCCGAGUCUGGUUCAGAGCUAAGGUUCAUAAUUCAAGUGUCUUGUCAUUGGACUGGUGCAAUAACCCUCUGAUAGUUCUGCGGAUUGGAUUAAAAUUAUUUUGAGAUGAAAAGUUAAUAUUUGUAGUGACUGACUGACUGUUAUGUUGUCUUGUGCAAACUGCAAAGUGCUCUGUUAUUCUAUACAUUCUGUUUGCUUUUAGCAUUUUAUUACUAUUUUUAUAAGGGUGAAACAUUAUUAUAUUUAACUUAGCUAGGUUCUUUUUUUUAUGUUUAAACUAAUAUAUUCAUGAAGCCCAUACAAAACCCACGUGACCCAAGCGGUGAUCAUGCACAUGCAGUUGUAAUUUAGUUAGCUUUUAAUUUGUUGCAGUUGGCAUGUUAGAAUUAGUUGCACCUCUUGUACCUAGCCAUCGUCUUAUCCAUCUGAUCCGCAAUGUAUAUACAUUCAAAGUAGUAACAGCACUUGUGUAUUUUAAUUGAAGUCAGAGUAAUACUAACCUUCAUUCUCAGCCAUAUCUCUUAUUUGUGAAAAAACUAGAUCACGUGGAGUAAAUUAACUAGCUAGAUACAUACGCUCAAAUUACAUAAUUUGGAUUAUCUCAUGAAGGUUUAUAAAUAUAGUUCAAGUCUCUUGAUAUAUGUUUUAAAAAACUUUAACCGCAACCCAAGCAUCCUAAUUAUACAAGCAGAGACAUAUAUUCUCAUAUAUUUAGUAACAAUAAUUCACUCGAAUUACAAGUCGUAAGAUAUGGCAUAUAUAUAACACAUACAAUAUUGUAGAAUGACAUGGGUAAUUUUUGGGAUCUUCUGCAUCAAAUGAAAUUGAGCUAGCAUACACGUAGCUACGUACAUACGUGAACUUAUUUGUGGUACAGAACAUAUUAGCUAGAAAAAGGAAACAAAUUUAACAAUAGCAAACCAUAACUGUAAAAAUGAAACACUAAUGAUUACUAUGAUCAUCACAAAUCUGGAAUUAUUGAACGUACGUAAUUAACUCCUUAGUUGAUUGAUUUUUCAAGGCUUUUUGGCUUCAACAUGCUUGAAACCACCAAUGACACCACCAACACCACCUAUAGCACCUACACCACCACCAAUGCCUUUGUAAAUGCCUCCUCCAAUUCCAAUUCCUUUGUAAAUGCCUCCUCCAAUUCCUAUUCCUUUGUAAAUGCCUCCACCAAUUCCACCACCUAGACCACUUCCUCCUCCAUAACCACCACCAAGACCACUACCACCUCCAAGUCCUCCAACUCCACCACCUCCUGCUCCUCCUCCAUAUCCACCACCUAAACCACUAUCACCACCAGCUCCUCCUCCAUAGCCACCUCCUAAACCACCACCACCUCCACCAGCACCGCCAAUGCCGCCAAUGCCACCAACACCACCAAUGGACCCUCCAUCUAAGCACGAUUCUGGCUUCUUCACCUCUUCCUUUGAUUUUUUCUCCAAGUUCCUUGCAUCAACAUAUUGGGACAUUCCCAGCACCAAACAUACUCCCAAAACAACUACUGAAAUGAACUUUCUCUCCAUCACUGAUCUUAUUCUAAUCUUUAAGACUUUAACUACUACUGUGUGUAUAUAUGUGGCUAUAGUAAUUGUAUACACACCUCACUAGGACUUUCUCCCUCUGUUCUUUUGCACCUUAUAUGCAUGCAUUUAUAUAGUUCUCGCUUGCAUGCGAAUAAAUGAUAAUCUUUAUUUCAAAAUGCAAAAGACGAAAAGUAUUUAAUGUGCAGUUGGAGGGUUAGGAGAGAGAUGUUUAUUGCAACCUCACAAGUUACCUUCCCUCACAGUAAUAGUCCAGCUCUACUACAUGCCAGUAACGUGACGUUUCCAUUCGCAUUCAUGAUUGGCCAUUGCAUGCCCACACUUGUAUUUUGUCUCCAUCGAGAAUUUGUUUUUGUAACUUAUUCUAUACUCUAUCACACUUUUUUUUUGUUAAUUAAAAUUACGAAAUCAUAUUUAAAUUUUAGGCAAAUUAUCCUUGGAGAUUUCAUGAGUGUCUACACCUUGAAAAAUAGCAAGUAUAUAGAGGUAUCAAAAUGAGUUGUUUUACUCAACAGGUCAAGGUGUAAAAAGCAGGUCGAACAGAGAUCAAGCUAAAUUCUUUAUGGACUACAUAUUCAAUGGCUCGAUGGACUGAGCCAAAUUGCCACACUUUAUUUUUUUGUCCAAUUAGAUUAGUAAUUUUUGUGCUUAUACUUCAUGCAUGUGCCCGGCUUUAUCUGUCUACCUCAUUCGUUCGAGCCAAAUUGGUCUGGUUCUUUUAGGCCUAACUUGUUAGUGCUUGAUCUAGAACCUAGGUUAAGGAAACAAUUUAUUUAAAAAUAAAAAAUUAGUGAUUAUUAUCAUGAAAGGAAGAAGAUAUUAAGAGCGUAGAUUCAAAUAUAUGAAAUUAAGAGGAAACAAGUUAUACACAUUUAAGAUAUUUAUAUGUAAAUUUUGAUUGAACAAAUUUUUCCAACUCUAAUAAGAAGAGAUGGGAUAAAAAUGAUUGACAUGAUAAUUAGUGAUGGUCCAACUAUCUUUAUCUUAACUAGGAUUUAUUAAAUAAAACGUGAGAAUCUUGUGAUUUAAUGAUUUCAUAUAGGUUGUUUUGGUCUAGAUAUUAUUGGCAUUUUUCACAUGUAACAAUUAUGAUUGAGCUGAAUAUCAUUGUGGGUUAUAAUUUUUUAUUUGAAUAUUCAACAAAGUUACAUAUUUAAAACUCUAUCCCCUAAUGUUGGAACACUCAGAUCAGUGAUAAUUUCAAACAAAUUCUAAGAAAUAUCAAAGAAUUUACUUAAAAACGAAACAUGAAAGAGGGAACAAAGUUCUUGUUCGUUAUGCAGUCAUAAAUUCCAUAGUAAAGUACCUCUGGCAGUCUGGCAAGCGGUCCAUCACUUGAUUUGCAUGAGAUACACCAGAAUUCAGAAAGAGUGAGCAUAUUGGCAUAAUAUUGGGUAAUGCUAUUAUAGAAUAUUGGAAUUAUUUUGUUGGGGUGGUGUCACACUGGCACCCAUUUAUUGGUGGUAGAUGGUGAUGG
Molecule: long non-coding RNA, 53443 nt
Filed under: Glycine max (soybean)
Lineage: Eukaryota; Viridiplantae; Streptophyta; Magnoliopsida; Fabales; Fabaceae
Description: long non-coding RNA (GMAX_LNC002052)
Source: RNAcentral